AACCAACUCCACAUUCGCUUCACAUCUCCCUAAUUUUUCCUCCUCCAUCUCUUCUAACUUUUCAUUUUGUUUCCUUUCUUCAAUGGCAAACCUCUUCAAAAAACUCCCACUUUUCUUCUUUCUUUUUACCCUCAUUCUUCUCAUCUCCGUUUCUUCUUCUUCAGCCAGAUUGCUGCGCCAACAAUCUCUUUCCCCCGCCCUUAAACUUGAUAUUCCGGCCGAUCCCGCCGCACCCACAAUGACCGAAUAUGAGUCUCUGCUUCUUGGGUUUCUUCCAAAGGGAGGAUCAAUCCCGCCGUCCGGACCCAGCAAAGGCACCAACAACUUCAACACUUAAAGAAUUCUUUUCUUGGGUUUUUUCUUUUCUAAUUUUUAAAUCUAUGUGUUUCGUUUAGGGUAAAUAUUGGUUCAAAAGUGAUGUAGACUUAAGAGGAGAGGAGAGGUCAGAGAUAUUUCAUUCAUUAUUUCAUUAUUAUGCAAUUAUUUGUACUAUUAAUUCAUUAACUGAUGUAUACUGAUUAACUUUUCUUUUGUUAAUCAUUGGAUUAUUGUGUGUCUUGACGCCAAAACUCUGCCUCCAUGACAAGCUUAAUUUCUCAUGGAAGUUUGAGAAAAUAUUGUGUAAAUUUAAUGAAAAGAUUCAUUUUAAUGUAGAAAAUGUAUAAUUUCUUUUUUAUGGAAUGAUCGUAGUUGCCGGUGGUAUUUAUAUACGUCUUAAGUUGUAUUUUGAGAUCAUUUAUUCUUCUUUUAUUCUACUUUUAGUUGUACUAUUCGAAAAAUGUACUUCGAGGAAGGUGUUAUUCAAAUCUCUUAUUGGGAGAGAGUUUGAUUGUAAUUGUUCAUAUUAGUGUAGGCUAUAUCGAUGAAUGUAAGAUAUGAAAAAAGUAUAAUCGUGGUGUCCGUGGAACUACCCUAAAACCUUUUUAUGUGAGUAGUCAGGAUAAUGUGAUGAGUUUUUGGGUUGUUCUAAGUGAUUUCACAUUCUAUUGAGGGAAUUAUCAUUCUUGAUUCUUCUACUUAAAGCAUAUUUUCAUAAGUUGUGUGGACUUUUUGGUUUGGUUGUUUUAUUUGCCAUUUUUUUCUUAAUUCUCCUGGUUGGGUUUUGUUUAUCUCUCUUUAUUGCAACUCAAAAUUCUUGUGAAUGUAGAAAAUUAUCCUUGAGAAGCUCAAUCACUGCAAAAUAACUAUGAAAUAGGUUUAAAUUCAGGUAGACUCAUAAACCCAGCUUUGAUUUUCUUUCAUUGGUUAAAUGAAAAUGGCAUUAGAAAUGUUUAACAAUUUAGUUUAGUUAAAGGUAAGCUAGAAAUCAAGAAUAGAAACAUUGUCCCAAUGCAAGUGGGAGGUGGGGGAUAAGAGAGAAUUGAAAUAUCCUAAAAUUAAAAAUAUUUCUGUCUUAUAAUUGUAGAAUAUAAAAGUAGUAUUUAAGCAACAACAUUUUCAAUGGUUGGGUCCACGAUAACCCAAUUUAAGUUGAAGGUACAAAUUUCAACGCCUUGCUUGAUCCAAAUUCUAUUAACAAUUCAAUAGAAAGAUGUGAUGCUAUUGCUAACAAAUGUCAAAUGUCUAGCUAUUUAAAUGAUUUAAUCAAUACACCUUGUCUCUUAAAAAGAAAUAAUUUUGCACACCAUCUUAUUUUCUACCCUUGUGUCGAUUUACAAAAUAUUAAAAAUUACUAUUUUGAUCUUCUCUUUUUUUUUUUUUUUUUUUUUGACUCCUAGAAAAAUACUAUACUAAAUAAAUCUUGCAAAGUAUAUGAGUUUGUGACAAGGAGAUUCCAUCGAUAUAAUGAAUUUCAUAACUUAGAUGAUCAAUUUUUAACAAUAUUUCUAAAAUAACCAAAAAGAAAAAGAAAGGGUAAUAGUUAAUGAAGCUUUUGAUUCCCAACGUAUUAAAAUGAUUUUUGAACCCUAUUAUUGGUUAGCCAAAUGAAAUGCAUACGCAGCAUUUAAAGAAUUUGAUAAAGUGUCAAAUUUAUUAAUUUGAUGAUGUGUCGUAUACUAACUAUUGAGAAGCUUCUUUGUCACACACCAUUAUGUCAUGUUGUCUAUCUCAACGUAAUGAGUGAAGAACUAAAGCUCACUUCCCCCUAAACCAUUUCAGACGUGGGAAGUAAAACAAAAAUUGUUCCAUCCAAUGAACAAGUAGAUAAGUAAGAACUUGUUCACCAUGAUUUGUGGUACCAAUAUCAGUGUUGAGGAAAGAAACCUUUAUCCUUCAUUCCAUACAUUCUUCAUAAGCCAUAGACUCAUACAUGCAAUGGACUAUGGUGUUCUGAAAGGAGAGCAAUCAAAAUUGACGAGUGGUUAUACCAAUAAACUACCUUAGAUAUAAAUUUCAAAUAAACUAAGAUAAGGAAAUGGCAACUUUCCCCUAAUUCAAUUGGAUGGCAAUGGCAUGGGGGAAUUGUUGUCAAUUAAUCUCUUAUUAUCGUUGAUAAUUAGUGUAAAGCUCCUCCCGAAAACACUUCAUAUUUCUAACCUUCGGCACUAUUACGAAAAGAAGAAGAACAAAGUUACAAAUCGCAAGAACAUCUCACGAGAAUCCCAACAUGGCCAGCUGCAUUUGCUUAAAAUUAGGGCGAAUAUUUAAAGUAAAGCUACCACCACAAACAUUGUACAUUACUAGGACAACCGUGUUUUUUCCUCUACUUUCUAAUAAUAGAACUAACAAACUCUUCAGAAUGGCCUGAAUUGUUGACUAAAAAGUAAAGGAGAUUAAAUGAAACAAGAUCGAUAGAACAGAUCUCAUGACAAAAAACAAUAAAAUAUUCAAGUAGAGAACCUAUUAAAUCAAAAAUUGAUCAGAUUUCACAAGUACAGCAUAAUUCGAUACUCAAAACAAAGCCCUCAAAAUAUAGUGAAGAAUCCUAAAUAAAAUUGAAGUCCACAAAAUCUGAGAAACCACGAGAAAAUUAAAUAGCAUAUAAAGCGUUCUUUCAAGCACGGGGUGGAGCUCCACCAGCUCCAACACGAGGGUUCUGUCCUGCCUGUCCAGGCUUUGGUGCAUCGUCCUGAGGAAAAACAUGGACAUAAUUCAACUAAUUAAACAAGCACCAACAACAGAAGCGUAUUUGUAUUUGCAAAUAAAAAAAUAAAACAAUAUAAGUAGAUUUAAAAUUGAGUGAGCAGCAACAAAACCAUGAAUUUCAACGUAAAUACUAACAAAACAGCAAAACGUUGCCUCAUGUUCCAUUAAACACCAAAGUAAACAGAAUUAGCAACCUUCAAUUUUGAAAUUGUGAGACUUGUUAAAAAACAAGGGCAAAGAAUGUGCAUUAACCCAGCAACAUGACAACAGUCAUUACACACAUCAUGAUUAACAUUAACAAAAAUGGAUAAAUAGAAAAAAGUAAGCUUUGUGAAGAUAUGUUAAAGGGUCAGCACUAAACACGUAUCAAUAGGCUUACGAUACGGCCAUACAACAGUGAGGAAUGGCAAUAUUUACAUAAAGACUCCAUUCUUAGCAACCAAAUCACACAAAAAUUGCUAAUGAGAAGCUAAUCAUCCAUUGGCAAAAGCUAGAAAGACUAAUCAUACACGAGCUCAUAUAAAUAGUCAUAUCAAUCUAGGAAAAUUAAUGAAACGAAAGAACCAAGAAAGAAAAGUAAAUAGAUUCAAAAUAUACCCUGCGUCUAAUGAAGCGCUGUGGGGGCUCACGUUUCCUCCUGUCAGUGCGUGAUCGAACCCUCACAACGUGAGAGUGAAUAGCACAAGAAACACAGUACUGCAUCUUGGCAUAAAGCUUAGGAAGAGUGUAUUCUGUAUCAAAAAACAAUCAUACAAAAAAUCACUCAAAACUUGCAACAUUGGAACAUAAAGGAAAAAUACACUCAAGAAAAGGAUCAUACGAUCAUAAACACAGGCUUCCUGAACAUCCCUAACAGCUGCCUGCUCCACAAUGUUCCUGACAAGGAACCUCUUGAUUGCCUUAUCCUAUCCACCCCAAGAAGAAACCACAUAAUUAGAUAUUCUAUACCAAACGAUAGUUCAACCGGUAAUUGCAAAUACGAGACGAAAUCAACCCAGAAUACCAACAACACAACAGGAAAAGUAAAACCCAGGAUGCGAAUUACUCGCGUCUUAAUUCGAUGAUGGUUAUACAUUGAGAUGCAAAUAGACGGAACAUCAAAAUAGGGGGGGAAAGAACCCUAGGUACCUUAGGGCAGCAUUUGCCGCAGUUGGAACAACGGAUGAAUUUCACGUGGCCACGUCCAUGCUUGUUGCGUCCACCAUUCCUGCGCUUGAAAGUCUGAACCAAAAGAGAAAUUGUUAAGCAGAAUACUAGAGGAGAACGAAGGAUCGAAAGAAAGGGGUGAGAGAUUAGGUCACCAUGGUUGUAGUGUAUGAGAUGGACGAGCGAAUCGGAGAGAAUCGGAGAGCUCGUCGGCUGAAUUAGGGUUUAUGAAUGAGUGGUAGUGAUCCUUUUAUAUGAAGGGGAAACAGAAGGUGACCUAGCGAAUGAAAUCCCUAAUUUGGCUUAUUUGCAUAUAACCCCCCAUUAUUCUUCUCUUUUUCAUUUUUUACCUACGACAUGGAUUCAUUACUCAUCUUCUUGGCCCAUUACAUUUCUUUUACACCACUUCUAAAUAUUGUUAUUAACAUUUAUAUUUUUCUUUUUAAAAAAAAAAACUUGUGUUAGAUGACAUAAACAUUUAGAGAAAACAAUUCAUGAAACAUCUUUUUUUGCAUAUUACAAAUAUAACAAGUAAUUAGUAUCACACCUCGUCCCGAAUAUCUGCUUGCUUGUCUCGCGAGACACCGUGUGACUUAAGCAUCAUUGACGCCGUUAAACACCAAAGACACUCGUCUUAACUUCCUUAUUUUAUCUUAAACACCAAAACACUUAACUUCGUGAAUAUUCUUUAGGCGAUAAAAAACUUAAAGCGAAAAAAUAAAACAACUUUAAACUUUUAUUCCUUAACAAGACAUUUAGUACAAUAACAUAAUGAUACAACACUUAACCAAAAGAUAAAAAUCAACCCUUAAACUUAAACACCUUACAACUUCUUGCCUAGCAAACCCAAACUUCCUCUUCCUUUUUGCCUCAACGUCUAAACCUUGGAAGGUAAAAUUUUAAAACAUAAGUCUAAAAUACUUAAUGAGGUUUUAUGAAAUCCUUUUUGCAAUACAUUUUUAUAAACAUCAUUUCUCAUAAAUAAUAUCAAAUCAUUUCGUUUCGCAUAAAACUUUUCUUUAUGCUUAACAAACACAUUUAUAACAUAAAAAAUUCAUAUAAACACACAUUAGUUAAUAAUUAUUCCUUUCACCGAGGAUCCCGAGUCGUUCUCUACAUUUGGUAUCAUUACCUAGUGUUUGACUACUGUAACAACAACAUCCGGGAACAUAUCAAUUUGUCAUUAUUGCUCAUAUCGUUGAGCUUUAUACGCUCCUUUCAAUGCAUAAGUCGGUUUCUUAUCACAAUGUAGUCCGUACACCCAUUGUGGUCUUAACUCUUUAUGUGCACAUAAAAGUUAGCAUCAUCUCAAGGAAUCAUGGUUUGAAAACCAUUUUAUAGCAUUGAAAUUGUAUUCAUCAAAUCAAACUUUAACAUUAUAAAUCAUGCUUGAACACAUAUAAACUUUUCAUAGAAAUCUCUUUUUGAAACACUUUCUCAUUUGAAGUCAUCUUUCAAAAUAGUAAAGGAAAAUCAUAAGAAAUUUUUUAACAUAAAACAUCUAAGAAAGCCACUCAUAGAUCGUAAAUCAACCCUUAACUGAAAUGUCCAAGACCUCUUUGAUCCAAACCUUCACUGCACAUAAACUCAUUUUCAGUCAGAACCUUUCUUCCAAUUUUAUAGCUUAAUAACAUAAAAUCCAGAACUCAAAUGAAAAUGUUUCAUUCUACAAAGUCGUUGAAAAAUUUCUUAAUAAUAAUACAUCAAAAUUUUAGCAAAAUAUUCAACCAAAUGCGUCUUGUAACCUUCUUGGAGUAAAGACUGAUCAGUUUUUAUACGAGAAUGACAUUCCUCUCUUCUUUUAACUCAAACUCCGCUUUUCUUUUCUCAAAUUAAACCAACAGCCCCAAUGUAGGAAAUAAACUAAAAAAUGAAACUUUCUAGAGUAAUUUUAUUUAAUACACACGAGUGUAGUAUGAAAAAUUCAAUAUUGAAAAUGACCUAUUUUUAGAGUCCAUUGUAUGAAUUUACGUUGACACCUCAUCUUUACUUAAAUCCACCUUAAACCUUAUUAAGACACAUCCUGCUUAUUUUUACACCUUAAAACGCAAGCUAACAAGUCUUUGACACUUCACUUAAUCCUUAAAUCGCUUGCCUUAAACUUGCCACGUGGUUGUCUAAAACGCAUAACUAGCUUCCAAUACCAUCUCACAUAGUUUCUCACUCAGACUACAUAACCCGACUUAGAAAGGUUAUAACUUAAAAUACGUAACUCUUUUGAUCAAACUUAUUUCUACAAAGUUACUUUAAAACGCGUUAACUUUCUUUUCUCUAAAUUUCAUAGCCAAACGCCAAACUAUGCGUUAUGUAGUCUUCUAGGAGUGCAUUUUACUCAAAUUCACUCAUGAAUUGACCUUCUCGCCUUCUUUUAUCCAAAAUGCCAACUUUCUCAUAUCCAAAAUGCCCAACAGCCUUCCUCAAUAGACUAGACUCAAAUUUUAUACUUUCAAGACCAACUCAUUUUAGAAGUUAGCUAAAACACCCAACUUCUACAAUCCUUCUUUCUCGCCAACCUUAAACACUCAAAAUGUCUAAAGUGCUCUUUUUUUAUACUUAAUCAAAAAACUUAUUUCUUUCAAACCUCUUAAAUAUCUUUGAAAAAUCUACAAUACCUAAAAUUCGGAUCUUACAAUUAGAAUAUCGUAGGACUAUUAGAAGUUACUAGUUUUUAAAUUUGCUGUUUUUGCAAUUUAGAAAAUAUAGUGGGAUACUAUGUUAUUAUAAAAAAAAAUCUUUUGUUAUUUUUAAAAGUGUCCCAAUUACAUUGGGUACAAAUUUAAAUAUAAAACUAAGCAUUUCAUCAAAUUUUUAAAUUUGGAGAAUAUGUCAAAACAUUGAUGUAGAAAAUAACAAAUUAUUUAAGUGGGUUUAAAUUUAAUGGCGAUUAAGUAAUUAAGCUUGAUGACAAUUUUAUAAAUAUGUGGAACUUUUACAACUUUAGGGCACUCCUUAGUGAAGCAUAAGAAAGAAAAAAAUUUAGGUGUUGUUUGUCCUCUUCGAUUGGCAUCAUGUGGGCUUGGCAUUUGAUGCCAAAUCAAUGCCCAUGGUGUAAAAUCAUAUGUUUAACAUGUAGGGUAAAUUGACGACUUUUUUUAAAAAAAAAAUUACAAAUUUCUAAUUAACCUAUGAUAAAAUGUAAAUUUUUGGUGCAUUCAAAAAGUUGGUUGGAGGGAGAAAGGAAUUAUAACAUUGUGUAGAUUUGAAUAGAGAAGGGUAAGAAUGUAAAUUCACAUAAAAAAAAGGGUUAGUUGUAAUAAAGUUUUUAGAAAUGAGUUAGUGAUAGAAAAGUUUUAGUUUUUAGGUCAGUUUAUGAAAGUUUCUUACCAUGGUUGAAGUUUGAGGAAGAAGUUAUUGUCCAUUACUGUCUUAGUUUGUUUGUUGAGGUCAUCGACGAAGGCCAAAAUUAUGUGGCCAUAGUUCGUCGAAAAAGUUAUUCUUGUUUUACAAUCCAUCAAAGUCGUUAGAGUUCGUAGUGAGCAUCACAGUCAUUUCGUUCGUUGAAUUCGACAUCGAAGUUGUUCCUUUAUCACUUAGCAAGGAAGAAAUAGUGAAAGAGAAAUAGCGAGAAGUAUGAAAUUAGAGUGUUUUAUGAGAGGUAAUUAUGACGAUCCGGAUCAAAUUUGUUAAAACUCUUUUUUAAGAAGUAAUCUUUAAAAAAGAAUGGUUUGGGGCCUUAGAAUGUUUCUUCUUCUUCUUUUGUUUGGUUAUUUUUUAUAAAUUUGUCUCAAAUUAGAAACAUCUAAUACAAUUAUUAUUAUUGGAUGGGAAAGUUGAUGUUUUGUUUGGAUAAUUGAGAAUCCAUUAAACAUAUAUAUACAUCUACAUAUACAUAUAUAUAUAGGAAGUCUAACUUGAAAAUUAACUAAAACAAUAAAAUAGGCAUAGAACAACUGUAAGGUUUCCAUUAAAAUAAUACACUAUCGUGAAAUUAAAUUAAAAAAGGAAAAGCGACUUUUUCUUCAUAUUCAUUCAGCCUCCCAGAGAAGAAGAAAGAGGGAAUGCUUUGAAUUUGGAAGUUAAAAAAUUCUUCAAUUCCGUGAAAUCCAUUUCCAUCUUUCCCUUCCCAUUUCUCCAUCAUUCAAAAACAAAACCCCCAACACUUCUCCACCUUCAAUUUUUACUCUAAACCUCCACAAUUCUGUCUCACCGGACCCGACCAAUUCAUAACUGCAAUGGUCGAUCUUUCCGAAACGGCUGCCGGCAGCGCUGAAGCCGACGGCAAAGACAUACCCUGCACCUCAUGUGACCGCCAAACUUUACUCCACCAGUCCAUGGGCGGCGGCAAAGGUAUUUCAAUUCUCCUUACAUAAUUUCGUUGUCUCUCGAUCAAUUUCGCGUUUCUGAAUUAGAUUCCUUCGACCCCUUAUCGAGAGUUGAUGUUGAAUCAGUUGGGUGCAAUCGGUGAUUCUUGAGGGGUUUGAUUUUUUAUGAUACACUGGAUGAUAUGAAGCUUUAAUUUAAAUGUUUUCUGAAAUGGGUUUGCCUGAUUCGUCCAUGUUCUUUUCAUUUUAUCUGUUUGUUUCCCUUUUUCGCAUUUCAAUUACGACUUUGACUGGUUGAAACUUGAAGUUUUUGUUACCUUUUGGCUUUGGGAAUCGGAUUCUACAUUGGCUAUUUUCCCAGUUUUAUUACAAAUUUCUUGCGUGGUUUUCAUCUUUCUUCUUCGUGUCUUAUAAGGAAAAAUUAAAACCAAUGAUGAUAUUCCCCUUUCUCGUUUGAUAAUCUUGACCCUUUGUUCUUUUGCAUAGCGGCUGAUAUUCUUCUGUGGAAACAGUGGCAUGUCUCUAUCGGCGUUCUUGUUGUUUCUACAGUAUUUUGGCUUCUAAUUGAGCACUCCGGAUUGCCAUUGUUGACAACAUGUUCAGAUGUCUUGCUGAUUUUGGUUGUCCUAUUGUUUCUUCGUGCCAACUUCGCUGCAUUCCGAAACAAGUACGGUUUUAGCUUACUUAUGUUUUGAUUCACUCUGAAGUUCUUGCAUAUCAUAGUCUUUUACAGAUGACUUUUUGCUUAUACUACUUUGUUCUUUCCAGCAGAUAAUUUGUUUUCCUCGUUAGCUUUUCUUCAUUUUCUCUCUUUAUGCAGGCAACUUCAAACACUACCGCAGCUGGUACUGUCGGAGGAGUUUGUCAACAACGUAGCAGCAUCACUUCGGGCAAAAAUCAACAACACCUUACUUAUGGCUCAUGAUAUCACGGUUGGCAAUGAUUUCAAACUCUUUUUCAGGGUUGGUAUUUUUGAAGCACCAUUGAAUUAUCAUACGUGUGAUGCAUACUGUGAUUCCUAGUCCUAAUAUCCCAUAUUAUUGGAACUUGAAUUAAAUGGCCAAAACUGAUAAGUAUUUACUGGGUUUAAGUACUUUUCUCUGAAAAUAAUAGAUUUAAGAAUGUUUUACAGGGUUGUUCUGAGGUAGUUAAUAUUUUACAGGACAGUUUCAAGAAUGCAUAAACUUAAUAUUCACUUCAAGAGCAUAAUGUUGACUUGCUACUUCUUUGUUUUUGGCUGCAAUAAUAUGAUUAACCUUGCAAACACCUUUUGCAGAUGGUGAUCGGAUUGUGGCUUUUAUCCGUCGUUGGUAGCUACGUUUCUUUCUUUACCUUUGCAUAUGUUGGUAUGCACGAACAUCCUAAAACACUUGCAUUCACAUUUCUUUAGUUCGUAUAUGUUCAUCUGUUGGUAAAUUACGAUCCUCAACGACAAGUAAACAUUCAGAGAAUUUUGUUUGUUUUGUCCAUACAUCAUUUCCUUUCAAUGUUUUUUGCUCUCAAGAAAUGAAUACUGUCUAAUGAAUGCCCCUUUGUAAUCGAGUCUUCUUAACCUAGGAUGUUGAUUUUUGCCAUUUAACUGGAUGACAGGAACAAUCAUCUCAAUAACCAUCCCUGCUUUGUACAGCAAAUACGAUAAACACGUUGACAGAUACUGCGGAAUGAUCCGCCAACAAUUUAGAAAGCAUUAUAGAGUGAUGGAUGAGAGUGUUUUCAGCAGACUCCCUGGUGGUUUAUCCAAAGAUAAAGAUCAGUGAAAAAACUCUGCCUUUAAUUUUCUAUAGUUUUACUGAAACCACAGGAAGAUUGUAACAAUGUUCUAUCACAAAUGAAUGCCUUAACUGGAUUCUUGAAGGUUAUUGCUUGGCCAUGUGUAUUUCAUACCCCAAGGUUUAAUGAUGUCAGCCAUUAUAGAUCAGAUAUCACAUAUUUUAGUUUUUAAUUGCUAGAAGAAAAGAUCAGGGUUAUGUUCUUUUUCUUUUUUGUUUGGGAGAGGUUAUUUAAUGAUAUUUAUGAAUAUUUUCUUUUGAAACUUGUAAGUGGGGAAAGCUUUUGAAUCUGGUUGGUCAAGGUCUAAUACUGAGAUUGAAUUUCCUUUUUGUCAAGUAUGGACCAGCCCACAAAAGGCCUCAUUAUUGAUUACCCAACAAUAGGUUAGUUGGUUCAUAUUUCAUAGUGUGUUUGGACUUAAAAAAAGGAUAAACUUUGGGACAUUGCAAAUUUGGUCCCUAUUAACUAUUAAGUUGGAUACGUUUACAAUUAAAUUGAUUAAACAAUGUCUUAAAUGUCUCUACCAAAGUUAAAAACUAGAAUCCUAAAUAAAAUUAUUCAAUAAGCCACAAAUAUCCUAUAAUUAAAUCAAACUUUUCACACACAAUUAAUACCUAUCAAAAUUUUAAUUUUCUUCUAAAACCUGAAAAUUAACACCUAUCACUAUCAAAGCUCCACCUACUUUCUACCGUCGUUUCACAUCUUCUUUAAAUCGUGGUCAAGUAGUCGUUUCAUAUCUUCUUCAAAUCGCAUUCAAACGUUCAGGGAUUCAAAGGUUAUCGAUCUCUUCACAUCUUUCAAACCUUUAAAAAACUUAAGGUAUUCAAACGUUGAGGAAAAGAGGGUCAUCGAACAACAUUUUUGAAAUCCUUGAAACUCUUCAAAGUCGAAAAGAUUCCAGGUUCCCUAUCUUCCGCUUACGUAGAUUCCACCAAUUUUUUUUUUUAAAAAAAAUCUUUCGUCCCCUUUAAACAUUUCAUCACUUGUAGAAACGAUUGGAGCUUCAAGUUUCUUUCCCUUCAAAUCGAUUUGAUCGGUGCAAAAGUGAGAUUUUUCAAGGGAUUUUCUUCUUCGUAGUUCUUCUUUCGUUCGUUUGAGCUCUCACUUUUAGGAAAAUUUAUUAUGAGUACGUUUAAUGUAAAAUUUGCAAAUAACAUAAAUAUUGGUAUUUCAAACUAAGGUAAAAAAGUGCAAAUCUACCUACUAUUUUUCCAGAGAAAUUUUCAAAAAUAGCAAAUUUUGACAAAAUAUUUACAACUUAUAGCAAAUUCUAUCAAUGAUAGUUUUCUUGAUAGUUAAUUCUAUCACCGAUAGUCAUUGAUAUACUAUCAAGAGAACUAUCAUUGAUAGAAUCUAAAAUUUUGUUAUAGUUUGUAAAUAUUUUAAUUUAUUUUACUAUUUUAAGAAAAAAUCAUUUAAAUAUGUAUUUUCUAUUAAUUUUUAAAAAAACUUUAUAAUUGCCACAAAGAAUAUAAUUAUUUAAAACAGAAAGAUAUGGAUAUUCGUAAUUUUAGUUGAAAUGAAAGAAACUAAUCUAACAUACGAAAUUCUUGUAUAUAUAAUUGACAUUAUUUCACGGGAAGAAUUGUAAAAUUCAAAUUCAAUUUUUUAUUAAAAAUGUAUAUUGCAUAUAAUUCAAUAAAUUGUUAAUGAAUUGUUUAAAAUAUAAUAAAUCUGAAAAUCUUGUAUAUAUAUUUUACAUCGUUUUAGGGGAGGUUGAUGAAAUAUUGUCUAGCAACAAAAUAGCAUAUUUAAUUAAAUUUGAAUGUUGUUUGAGAAAUACAUUGUCUCUAUACAAUUUGUGAUAUCUUACCUCGUUUUUGGAUCUACUCAAAAUAUUUUGAUUAAAUAGAUUAUCUUAUACCUAGGGAUAGAUUUGAGUUUAAAAUAAUUAAAUACCUUUUCGCAAAAUACCGUUUGUAAACAUCAUUUUGCUAAACAUAUUCAAUUACAUGAAUUCAUUUUUUCACAUAAACUUAUCAUUUCGCACAUCACAUCAAUUUACAUUUCCAAUAUCACACAUUAGUCAAGUUAUUCCUUCUGCCAAGAAUCUUGAAUCAUUCUCUACGCAAGGACUCAUCAUCCGCAUUUAGACUACUAAGAUGACUUUUUCAUCAUCAACAUCCAAAAAUAUCUUGAUUCAUUCUUGUUGCUCAGGCCGUUCAUUUUCGUUUUCUACAUUGGUCCGCUUUACUCCACCAUGCAGUCCUUUUUUACAUGACUGCCUUUACCCCUAUGUGCACAUAACAGUUAACUCAUCAAUAGAAAGAUAACUAAUGAUUUGAACAUUUAUUCAUAAACAUCCACAAUCUCAAUAAACAUACUUUGAAAUACAACAUAAGUUUUAUAUAUAUAUAAAAAUCUCUUUUUAGAAAGCAUUUUAUUUGAAUAAUCAUUAACUCAAAUCAAUAAGAAACUUAUAAGGAAAACUUUUAACACAAAUUUUUAAAUAAAGCACUCACUACAGUUGGAAAAUAAACUUCAAAGGCUUCUCCUCUUCUUCUUUUCUCGUCGACAAAUUGACAACACCUCAACACUUAAAUUUUUUCCUUCGAAUUCUCAGAAUAAUCAUCCUUAACAUUAUGAUCUCAUACUCUACUUAUACUACUUCAUUAUCAAGCUUAGUCAUCUUUAGUCUCUUAUUACCUUACUAACUCCUACUCUUAGUGAUGCAUGUGUAAGCUUAAAGUUUAACUUAAUCAUGUUUAAGUACUUAAACUCUACAUAUGGUCCAUUAAGCAUACUUAGAAAAUUUAUGUGAAUUGAAGUUUCCUUGCUUCUUCAAGUAGUCAUUUAUCUUGUGAAACACCUUAAUCGCAUAAAAACAUAACUUUAAAAAAAAAUCUUGUCGCAUAACCUUUCUCACAGACUAACCAACCUUUUCUCGCAUAGUCCAUCCAAAACGUCUCUUUCAGGACAUUUAGUCAAAUUUUACUUCUUAUAUUAACUACGAGUCUUAACUACAAGUUUUACAUUAACAGAAAUCCAUAAAUGUGUGCAUCCCUCAUUUGCUAAAAAUCUUAUUCUCGCUAGUUUUUGCUAUAUUUCCAACUGCAACCUCUAAAUUUGUCAUUCCUACAUGUCUCUUAUGAAUUUUAUCGGGAAUCAAUGGUAAUCACGUUUUUUUGUUGUUUACCCAUGUGUUGCAUAGUCGAACUUUGGUCUGGCUCGUGUUUGAAAAUUUCACCCUUACCCAGAUACUCUAAUUGUGUAUAAAAAUUAUGAAUUUUUAUCACUUAUUAUUAUGUUUACCAUUACCAUUAUCAUUUUUGAUUGAAAUCUAUUAUAAUUGAUUGGUAAAUUUGACCUAAAUUGUAAUUUGCGAAACCAGAGGGUUAAAUUGUUUCAUGAAAUUAUAAGGGUCAAAUUUGAUGAAAGGGGAUAACUUCACAUUAACUGCAAUACGUAUUUAAAGCUAAAUUCACAUUAUUUGCAGUAUUCAAUUAACCAUAACAUCAAAACAACCUAAAUACUGGCAUGAACAAAUAAUUUAUAUUUGGUAUGUUGUUCUAUAUGCAAAAUUAUAUUUGGUAUACUGUUUGUGUAAAAUGCUACACACACAUAUAGACAAACAAACUAUGAUUAUAAGAGUUACAAAUGUGGGAAAAAGUUAAAAUUAAAGCAAAUGGGUGUCCCAUUUUAUAUUUUGAUGGUCAUAUGAGUUUUCACAUCCAACCAAAACAUAGUUUAUUGAAUCAUUGUACUCUUCCAUAUCAUCUCAUUAUCUAUUGUCCAUCCACUUCUCACUUCUUCUUCUUCUUCUUCUUUUUAAUUUCCAUUUUUUCCCUUAAUUCAAGAAAUGCAAUGCAGACGACUUACUUUUAGAAAAGUAAUUUAUGUUUUAUUUAUUAGAGUAUGUUAGUCUAAGCAUUUCUUUUUAUUUUACCUUUUCAUCAUCUAUUCUUUCCAUCACAACUUCUACUUCUAAACGUGAAGUACCAAACUUCCUAACUCCAUUUCUUUUUUCUGUUUUUUAUGAUAAAUUGCCUUCAAAGUUGGUCCAUCUAUCUAUCCAAAUGCCUUUAUCGUCAUUAAAUAGUAACAAUUUACUUUUGGGUAUAGCAAGUGAACUUCACGACGUAGAUGACAUGCAACUAUGACAAUUAGCAUUGAUUGCGUUUUAAAAUUUUAUUUCUACAGAAAGAAAGAAAGAAAGAAAAAAAAAAGUAGCCAAAGAAUUAAUACUUGACUUAAAAACUGCAAUUAAUAACAUACCUAAAAAAAUCCAUAAACCUUUGCUAUUUAUGUUAAAAUUACUCAAUUGUUUUUGAACUUACAAUAUUACCCUUUCAUAAAACAAAUUCAAAAGUGCCAUCUUAUGUUAAAAGAUUAUAUAACUCUUAACAUUAAAACUUUUUUUCACGAACAAAGGGAAUGAAGCUAAGGGUGUUAUUAUUUUUAAUACAAGUCUCGUUUUAAGCUUUAUGUUAAUAGAUGGAUUAUAGAUAACUUAUUACAUUAAACUUUCAUUAAGUAUCACUAAUGAUAAAAGAGUGCCAAAAAGAUAAUAGGCAUAACAAAAAAAUUAAAAGAAGUACUAGAAAAAUAAGAUGUACAUAUUAAGAAAAAUAAAGCUUUUCAAUUAAAAGGAAAAAUUAUAUAUAUAAAACAGAAAACAUUAAUGCAACGUCCUCAUACUAAUAAAUUGAGAGGACUAAAUCAACAAUUCCUUUCUAAACAUAGAAAACUCCUUCUUCAGUAACCAUUUUUCUUCUACACACAAUAUUUUCCUAUAUAUUUUAUAUUUAUGAAUAUAUAUUUAUUAUAUAUAUAUAUAUUUUUUUUGGGUUUUUUAAAUCCCAAAGACCUAGCGGGUGUGAGUCAACCACCACUGCCAUAGCCGGCCACCGAAACGAGGGCGCCCGGAGAUCUUCCUACUCUACCCUGUGUUUUACCCUCUCUGAGCUUCUUUUUAGAAUUGGCCUCCCUCGAACGUCUGACCGAACUGCCAGUUCGCCGGAACGGCGUCGUAGCUAGUGACGGUACGGCCGUCGCUGGUGGUGACUUGGAAAGAGAGGCUCUGUCCAUUCAAGUAAUUGUUGCUCUGCCAAUUCUGACCCCAAUUUCUUGACAUCGCUUGCCACCCUGUUUUCGAACCUUUGAUUGACACCGAAUGGAUGUCUCCGGCGCCGCCCACAUUGGUGAUUAGAACUAAGUUGAAGUAUGAAUGUCCGUUAAUGGUGAAUCUUAUUCCUCCCUUCUUCAUACAGGGUACUCUGUAAUUCAUCAAAAUCAGAGAUGAGACAAGAAAAAAAGAAAAGAAAAGAAAAGUGGAUGGUUUUAUCUGUUAUAAAUCGAAGAAAUUGGUUUUUAAUUUGACCUUUGGAAAGAAACGGGAACGAUUCCGGCACGGUACUGAGCGAUUUGGAGAAAGGCAGGCUCAGCCAAAUCGAAGUGUUGAAGAGGAGGGUUGCACCAGCCGCCAUUGUCGUUGGACAGAGCAAAGUUUGGUGGACAGAAAUUAGUGGCGGUGACGAUGAUUUUUCCGGGAAGACACCAUUUAGGAUCACUGUUGCAAGUGAUUUCAUAGCAAGAGCCACAGCUGAGACCAUUGUUGAAGAGAGCAGUACUAAGCGCCGCCGUGUUCGUUCCAUAUCCUUGACUGUACAAAUUCCCAUACCCACAAGCUCCACCUGAUAAAAAGAAAAAACCCAAUUCGUCAUUAGGACAGAAGUCCAAAGAAACGAUCAUAAAUCACCCAUUGACCAGAAAAACAAAAUGGAUAUUAACUAGAGAGGAAGUAACAAUGGAGCAACUUGAAUCUACAAUCUCUUGUAAUCUUAAAAUACAAAUGACCCAAAGCAAAUGAGUAAAACGUUAAUGGAAGAGAAAGGAAGAAUUGAAAUCGUAAAAUAGUGAAGGGUUAAAAAUCUGAAGUUGAUGGUUGAAAGUGAAGAAAGGAAGAUGGAUAGUUUGAUUAGUUAGUUUACCCAUUGUGCCAGAAGCGUCACCACCGCCGUAGAAGGUGGCGUGGCCGUAAUCGGCAGAGAUUGAAGGAAGGAAAAUGAGGAAGAAAACAGAAAGAGAAGAGAGUAGUGAUGAAGGAGCCAUGGGAGAAGGAAGGUUUAAGAGUUUUGUAGUGAAGGGUUUGUAGUGGGGGAGUGGGAAGAAAUAGAAGAGAGGGUGUUAUUUAAAUAGAGGGGAAAAGAAAGCAGUUGAAGAAAAGUACAAGUUGGCUAUAAUUGUGGUGGAGAUUGGAAUGCAAAAUAGAAUAAAGCAAAGGGUAAAAUAAAAUAAAAAGGAGAAAAUAUAUGUUUUGUUAUAUGUUUUGAGAAUCUUUUAAUUUACUUCGUUCUCUCAAAAAAAAAAAAAAACGUAAAAGAGUUUAAUUGUUAAGAAUCACAAAAAUUCAUUACCUCUCUAUUUUUUUAUUUAUUAAAUACUCAGUUUCACCACUAAUGUUAAUAUAUAUUGCAAAAACUGACAAAAUUAGUCCCUAAAAUUGAAAGGCAAUAGAAAUUAAUUUGAAAAAGCAGGGUUGUUAUCAUUUAAGUGAGUGAGUUAGAGGUUAAUUUAAAAUACUAAACAUGAACAAGAAGUGAGGAACAAAAAAGUGAAAUAUUGAAUGAAAUUUGUAUUAAAAAGACUAAAAAUAUAAUAUUUAAAAACAUAGAAAUCCAAUAAAAAUAAAACCCAAUAGAUGAAUUAAAAUGAGAGGGGGAAGAAGGGGGAAGAAGGGGGAAGAAGGCACAUGGGAGGCGUAUGAAAUGGACUACCAACUCUUUAAACACGGGUGGGCCCAUACAGCACAUGCUUUUUUCUUUUCUUUAAAUUUGGAUGGGGAAAGGGAAUACGUAAUUUCCACGUGGCUGGUAUUUUGUUCGUUGGUAAACGGUAGUUAGGAAUCUGUGCCGUUAGGAUAUACCUGAAUUUCCGCUUCUCUUCUAUAUUACCAUAUCAAACAAACGCCCCUCACUUUCACAUUUCUAGGGGUAAGGGUAACCCUAUACCCCUCUUCUCCUCUCCUUUCCCGCCCUGAUCCCCUUCUCCUUUUCCCUCUAUCUUAAAUAUAUACUACUCUUUCAUACCUUUCAUUUUUAACCCUCAAAUUUAUCUAAUUAAUCAAUUUUCAUACCCUCUUUCUUUCAUCCCUCCCCUCUCCUGAUUAUCUCAUUUUUACCCUUCAAUUUUCUCUAACCACCCUUUUUCAUUGGAUGUGAGUCAAGGUCAAUGUAUGUCCAACACCCUUAUUUCUUAUCACUCAUCUUUCAUCCUAUACCUUCACUAUCUUCAAUCCAAAUUCAUAUAUCAAAACAGAGUCAAAAUAUGUCUUCAUAAAAGUGUAGUCUCAUCAUUUUUAAAAAACAAUGGACAAUCAUAUAUGUGUGUAUAUAUAUAUUCCCCAUAUUAUUCAUCAUUACAUACACACCCAUAUUCCUAAAUUAUUGGCAAAUCAAUUAUUUGAAUUUCAACAACAUCUUUUCAUAUAAAAGAAUUCUAAAUAAAUCUUUUGACAAAAAAAUUUAACCGAUUAUUUUAUAAUUACUUUUACUUCUCUAAAAUAUUUGAAGCCAGAUUAUGAAUGAAAGUAAAAUUUAAUAUCAUAUCAUCUUUUAAGUAGUAACCAAUGAAGAAUUCGUCAACAUGAGUUCAAUGCAAUUGACAUAUGUGUAUUCACUUUCUCAUAUUCUCUUUACAUUUAGCCUUUUUGUUUGACUUUUUUUGUACUCAUUAAAAUAGCAUAUUGAAUUAAUAAUUCUAAUAAGUUUGAGCCAUUUUAGACAUUGAAACUCUAGAUUUGUACAUUUUUGCAUGUUUUGUUUGUCGUGGAAGCCAAUGAAUUAAAAUUUAGUAGUUUAUGAUUAAUAUGUAACGUUAGACUUAGACAUGAAAAAUGAGUUUUUAAGCACACAUUUAUAUUAAUAGUAAUUAAUUAAAUGAAGAAACACACAACUUGUAAGAAACAAAUUAUUCAAAUAGUACUAAUUUAAUUUGUAAAGUAAAGUGUUGAAAUAGAAAAUUGUUAUUGUUGGAUCCAAAUUUGAAGAUGGAUCUACCUUUCAUUAUUUAAACGUUCUUACAAAUUUUGGUAGAUUGAGAAAAAGAGUAUCUCUCGAUUAAAGUGUUGAACUAGUUAAUUAAGAAGAAAAACUUAAUUAUAACUAAGAAGACAAAAAAUCAGUUGAAAUGUUAUUUAUUGUUGAAAUUAAUAUUGUAAUAGACUAGUUCAACUCUCAAGAAUAAUGGAGUUUAAUCAUGUUUUGACUUCAUAUAUUAAUUUUAAUUUUCACAAUUAAAAUAUUUGGUCAUAAUAAGAAAAAUUAAACCCAAAAAUUACACUAACACUCAAAUCAAUUGAACCUAAAACCUAAUGAAAUCCAUCAAUUUUGACUCCCAUUCAAAGUGUUCGCUAUUUUAUAAAUUGACUUUUGGUGAUUAGCCACAUAUUUUCAAAAUAAUUUUUUUUGACUUUCUUUCUAGUUUUAAAAAAACCGUACUUACUCUCAAGUCUCAAUUUUAUUAAUUUAUUUACACAUAUUUCAAAACACAAAUAAAUUUGUUAGAAAUGAAUAUUAAGAUCUAAUAAAAUUUAUCUUUUUAUUUUUAUAAAAUUUGAAAAUAGAAUGAUCACUAAAUUGUUGUUUCAUAAAGUUUAGAGACUAAUUUGUUACUUUUAUAAAAAUAUAUAUGUAAAAACCAAGGUAAUGUUUAAUUUAUGUUAGUAGUGAGUUAUGAAUAAAUAAGGCAUAGAUUAGCGCCUAGCGGCAUCAGUUAUGAGGCCUUGAAAUAGAGAGAAAUUUUGGAGAGUAAAAUGAGAAGGUCGGAAAAGAAAAUAAAAGGGUGGGGGAGAAGACAAGUUGGGAUUGUGAAGUAAAAGUAAGUAACAAGAUUGUCUCAAAAGAAGCCAUUAAAUCCAAACAAACAAAAAGGAAAAAAAAGAAAAAGAUAUGGGAAUCUUAAUAUUCAUAAAUUGAUUUCUCUAUCAUAUAACUCCAACCCAUUUCAAUCUCAAUAAAUUUAUAAAUAAACCAAAAAGAAAUACACUAAUUUAUAUGUAUAUAUGGAGAGAGAGUUUGAUUUAUAAAACAAAACCGUCCAUAUAUAAUCCAAUUAUCCAAUCCAAAAUAUUAGAAGGGGAAGUUCAAAAAGUGAUAUAGAAACAAAAGAUGGCAUUAAAUAUAAAAUGAAGUUUGAUUGGUAUGGAUUUAUAAUAUGAAGAGAGAUUUUGAAAUGAAAAUAAAGAAAAAAGAAAAAUGGGGUCUACCAUGUUAGGGAGCACAUGGAAGGGCCGAUGUUUGCGCCUCUAUUUCUAACACAAAUCCAAAUAUUUAUUUAUUUUUUGUCAGACACCGACUUUUCUUUUAUUUUCACUUCUUUUUUCUUUUAUAAUAUAUAUAUAUAUAUCCCCAUGAACAUCAGUCAUCACCAAUUCACUUUUUUAUUUAUUUAAAAAAAAAAAGAACAAACAAAUAAAAACACCAAACCUUUUUUCUCUUCUAGGUUUUCCCCUGCCACAUCUUUUUUUUUUCUCUUUCCUUUUUAAUUUCAGAGACUUUUUUUUAAAAAAAUUAUUAAUUUAAGAAAAGGGUUUUUUUUCUUAUCUAUUUGGGUUGAAAGAAAUUGAACCGCCAUUUAGUAUCUUUGGUUUAAAAUAAUGGCUCAAAUAUAAAUUAAGCUCUAACCGACAAUAUUUGAGAUUAAUUAGUUUAAACACACAAUUUUGGCGGAAUCAUCAUCUAUUCAUUUGGUUUUCUUUUCUUUUUUAAUUCAUUUCUCUAUUGCAUCAAUUCUAUUGUUUGGACUUUAAAUAGGUUUUUGUUCAUAAUUUAUUUGUGUAAACUUCUUUUAAGGUACACGUCCCUAGAUUUCAACUAUACACCUAUUAACAUUCAUAAAAUUUAGUCAAGGUAGUAUUAUUUAAACGUUGUCAUCUUCCUACAAAAAAAAAAAAUUAAACUAAGUUAGGUUUGGGUCUAGUUUUUAUUUUUAUUUUAAUUUACAUUAAAAUUUGCGUAUUAAAAUGUCCCUGAUGUAUUUCAUUAGACGUUAUAAUUAAAAUAGAUUAAGUUUCAUUAUUUUUCUUCAAAAUUAAAACUAAUUUAAAAUUUUCACUUCAUCCAAACAUUAAAAGUGAGCAUUUAAUGAAAAAUCAAAGUUAAAAUCGUAAAACCUUGAAAUCGAGAGAAAAAAUUGAUCAAGUCUCAAAUUCCAAAAAGGUAAAUUAAUUGUAACGUUUUCAAACAUAUAAAUUAAACUCAAAAUUUAAACAAUAUAAUCGUCGCAACAUUUUGAAACUUAAAGGUUAAAACGUGUAGGAAGCAAGCAAAAAUAUCAAAAUUGUAUUUAAUUAAACUUUGUUUUUGUAAAGUAAGUAUAUACUACUUUUUCAAUAUGUUUGAAAACAUUUUCUCAGACCAUAGUAUUUAAUUUUUUGAUGGAUAUGUCCGGUGUUUAUUCUUCACAUGUAAUUAUAUAACGUUAGUCAAUUUUGGCAUAUUGAAAUGAAUAGAUCAUAUAAAAGAAAGAAAGAACCAAGGUAGGUAGCAUAAAUAUAUAUACAUGAAUGAAGAGAAUAAAUAAAUUUAAUUUUGAGAAGAAGGGAAAUGAAUUGUUUUUUAUUUUGUGUAAGAAAGAAAUCAAAAUGCAUGUGAGAAGAAAAUGAUUUGAUUGAGCAAAAUCUUCUAAAAAUGUGUCUGUUUGUGCAUGGAAGAAGGUGCAUGCAUGCCAUGCAUGAUUUUUCAUCAUUUCUUUUAUGAAAAAUAAAUAAAUAAAUACUCAUCAUAUCAUAUCAUUGUAUAUAGCAAUAUAAAUGUGGGGGGAGACAUGAAGACAAUAUAUAUGUGAUAAACACACACACCAACCUUUUUUUCAAAGUAUCUUUUUGUUUUAGUUUUUUUUUUUACUGCUUUUUUUCAAUUAAAAAACAAAAAAUUAGAAACAAAUCAAAUAAUAAUAUUUUAAAGUGAAAUGAACUUAGAUAAAUUAUACUUUGAUUUGGGCAAACAUAUUGCAUGUGAUGUGCUUAUGGGGUCAAAAAUAUUGGCUUUUCUUAUCUCAUAAAUUCAUUAUUGUCAUUGUCAAAAGCUGUAUGGAAUUAGAGAUGCUAUUAAGAAAUGAUUAGCCUUUUCUUUUGAAUCAUCUAUCUAUCUACCUCUAACUUUCAAUUUACUUUUAUUUUAAAUUGGAAUUAUUUCUUUUUUCUACUCUUCCCAUUUACACAAAGUAUAUCAAAACGACAAAAAAAAAAAAACAAAAAAAAUAUCAACUAUAUAUAUAUAUAGCUAAUUGGUAAAUGAGCAAAUUAAAAACUUAUUAUAAGGGCAUACAUAGGCAUCAAAUCUUGUCCAAGUUUUGGGCUUCGUUGUGGGUGGUGGUCUUGAUUUCAUGUGCCCUUACUCUCAGGUCGUGAGAUGUUCUUAGUUGACUUGUAUAAGAGAUUUUCAUAUUAGUGUCAUAUAAUGUUAAAGCCUACUGCAAUUUGAUACCUAAGUUAGUACAAAUAAUUACUAGUUCGGUAGAGCACAAAAUAAGUAGGGUUAUGGGUCUUUUAUUUGAGACAUUAUCUUAUCCUCUCCUUUUUGGGAUUGUUAAAUGAAUUAUUUAUAGUUCUGUUCUCUACGUAUGUUUAUGUUUGUAGGUGACGAUGACGUGGUGCGAAAGACAUUUUUGACACUUGAGUUUAUAAUGUGCCAAUUUGGAACUAACUCAAUUAUUUUUUGAUCAGUAUAUAAUCAUCAAUAAUUUUUUUUUGAAUUUGUUCUUUUGAGAAGUCUACUCCCUUAAUCCUUUUCUCAUUGCCCUGUGGAUGUAGGCUGGUUCAUGGACUUUAGAUCUUACUACAAUUCUUGACAUAAUUAAAAAGAAUAUAGAAAGUAAAGAACUAUAAAGAGAAAUCCCUUUGUGUUGGAUUUGAAAAUAAAGGGAGUAGUGUGUAAACUAAACCUUUUAACUUUUAACUUUUAACUUUUUUAUAAUGAGUUUUGGAUUGACAACCUGGGAAAAAGUGUUUGUUACAUAACUUUGAUGAUUCCAUAACCAUAUAUGAAUAUUUGGAACUAUUUUAAAAAAGGUUCCAAAUAUAUGAUGUUGUCACAAAAGAAAAGAAAAGAAAAAGGAAUAGGAACUUAAAUGUGGAUGGAUGGAGGAAAACAUAGUGAUGGAAGUAGGAAGAAAAAAGAUAUCCACAAAAAGGGCAUGUGAGGAAAACUAAAAACUAAAAACAAUAACAUUUAUCCAAAAAGAAAAGUCCACUUGAAAGAGAGAAAAAAAGAGAGAGAUGAAAGUGGCCUUAGGAUGAAAGGAAUAUGAGGCCAUUCCAUUUGGGAAGAGGAAGAGGAAGAAGGAAGGGGUUGAGUGAGAUUUGAUUCACUUCAAAUUGGAACCACAAAGACAAGGAAAGCCCUCUCGGUUGAAGGCCAACGGCAAUCCCAUGUGCUUGCAUUUAUGCCUUCACAUUUGUAGGACCAAUUUCCCUAAAACCUCCCCCUACUUACAAAACCUUUCUCCUUCCCUAUCAAUUUUAGGUUUUUUUUUUUAAUAUAUCAAUCGUACAAUUCAGAUAGAACCUCUUAUCUCAACAAUCAAAACGUCAUAUCAAGUACCAUUGGGCUAAGUUUACUUUAGCAUCUAAGUUUUUGUUUACAAUACUAAUUUUGGUGACAAUGUAAUUACUCUACUUUACAACAACAUUAUUUCAGCGUUAAAAACACUUUUUGUUUCUCAAUUUUCAAGAAAGUAACAACUUAGUGAAGGUAUAAAAGUCUUUAGCGGUGGAAGACAUUACAUAACUAUAAACUCAAAUUUAAUUAAAAAAUUCUACAUUGACAAUACAGAGAAACAAACCUACUGUAAGAUUAAAUAGAGCUAAACAUGAAAGAAAAUAAAGAAGAUUUGAAACUUUUUGUCAUUGACAUCUCUAAAUCCUAGAAAUCACUAAAUUUGUUGUUGAAUGUUCGUAACACAAAUUGUGUUAAGUUAUUGUUUUACCCCUUGGUUACUUCUUAGUUCUUAAACAGAAGGAAUAUGUUGUUGUCUACUUAAAUUACUUCAAAACUAACUUAUAAAUGUAAUAGUGAUUAAUUUGUUUGUAGGGGGAAAGGCUAACAAGGUGGGUUUAGGGGUGAAUGAGUGAGAGUAAUUCCCUAAAAAGUUCCAACAACCCUAUUGUAGUUCACUUAGCACAUUUUAAUUGUGACAUUAUGUCACUUAAAUCUUUAAUCAAGUCAACUAAGUUAAUUACAACAGCAAAAACAAAUUAGUGAGAAAAAUUGUGGAAAGUUGAAGAACCAAAUUGGUAGCUUUAUUUAUUUUUAUGAAAAAUAAAAGAAUUUAAAAUAGGAAGGGUUGGUUGGGCGGGCCUAUGGCAGCAGCUACAAGCAUUUGCAAUUACUUUUCUUUCAUAAACUCAUUUUUGGAUAUGAAGCCCAAGACAUUUCAAAAGUGAAUCUGGGCCUACAGAGCCCAGCCCAUGUAGAGUUCAUCAAGGGAAUGAAGAUGGAAAUGAGCGUUUAACCCUCUUUGUUUGUUAGGGACAUCUCAUCAGAACAGCCAACAAAACAAGUUUUAUUUUUCCUCCCCUUUAAUAAACCUUUUUAAGUUUUAUUUACGUAUAAUUGUAAAAGAUUAUAUGCAUGAAAUUGAGAGUUAUGAUUUAAUUUUAGAUUUGAAAGCUUUUGUAAAAUGAAAUUGAAUAGAAAUUAUUGUGAGUUAAAGAGUUUCCCAGAUCCGCAGGUAAGAGGUUGGUUAUAGGGACCCACAUCCAUACCAAUUCCAACUUUAUUAUAUAAUAAUAAAUAGUAAAUAUUUGGUCUUAAUUUUUCGAAAAUAGAAAAUUCACCAAUUUUAGAUGCCUUUCUUUCCCAUUCACUUUCUCAAAUUAAUGCUCCCUUUUCUAUUUUCUAUCCUAAACAAAUUCAUUCUUAUUCGGUCUUUUUUAUUCUUUUAACAUUUUAUUUUUUUUAUCACCUCAUCUAUUUUGUCUCUUUUCACUACUAACUCUCCAUCUCUCUCUCUCUUCAAUUAUUUAUAUAUAUAUGAAAAUAUAUUACCAAAAAUUUAAAAAGAAAAAAAAAAUCGACAAGACAAAAUGUCACUCAACAUUUAGGUUCACUCAUCUCUUUUGCCUAACGUUUUAUAUGAAAGAGAUGUGCUUAAGAUGUGACAUCCACACCUUAAAUGUAAUACCUCCCCGGUAGUUUACAAAAUGUCGUAACUAUACUAAUUCAAUUGGUAUAAUAUUUGUACGACUAUUACAUACUCUUAAAGUUAAAAUAUUCGAAUUCUCUUAAAAAUUUAUAGAAUAAAGUUAUGUUAAAUAGUAAUGACUCUAUUAAAUGUUUUAAUGAGAUUGAUAGUUUGAGAAUAUUGAAUUAGGGUAGAAAUGUUUGAAACAAAAAAAGCUAUGAAAGGUAGUAAUGAACGAUAGUUUUUUUAGAUAAAACAAUUAAUAAUACUUAUGAUAUUAAUUUGAAUAGGAAGAUCCCUUAGGGCUCUUUAAAUGUUUUUAAAAAAUCACAUUUUUUUAAAAUAGUUUAAAUUCGUGUUCGCUUUACAUUCGUGUUGAUUUAUCAUAGCUUCAAACUUUGGUAUUUGGCGGAUGAACUCAAUUUAGCUCAAAUAACUCUUAUUAUCUAUGAUAAUUUUGAGUUUUAGUUGUAAUAUUAAUAAAACUACAAAAAUUUGUCGACUUUUUUAAAAUAAUUUUUCUAAUAUUAAAAUAUUAAACUAAACCAAUAAUUUGAAUUGCUUUGGUUGUUAAUCUCCCUAGAUCUUGUUUAUCUCUACAUACAUUCUUGUAUAUACAUUUUAUAAUUUCUAUAAUUUUUAAAAAAUUAUUAACAUUCAUAUCUAUUAAAAUUAAAACAUACUAAAAUUAAAACAUACUAAAGUACUCAUAUCAAUAGAUCAAAGAUGCACCUAUUUUGAUGUAGCACUUGCAUCCACUAUACACAUAAGGAAUAAAGAAUUUAAAUAUUUUAAAAAAGAAGUUAGAAGAAUUCUCCACUUGAAAACUUUAUGAUUGAACAAUAUCGUAGAAUGUUUUUCUUACAGUUAGUUUGGAUUCCAAAAAGUUUUAAAUCUUAUGAUUUGAAAUCCCAUAAAUGAUUUACUUUGUUUGAAUUAAAAUGAGAAAGAUUUGGAAUUGAUGUAUUUAAAAUUUGAUGUUGGGAUGGUAAUUGAAAAGGAAAAUAAAGUUAAAAAUUUACUAAUAUUAUCUUUUAUGUAAGAAUUUGUUAAUUGAAAAUUAGAAAAUGAUGAAAUGAAUUAUGUAAUUUACUUUUUGAAAUGACGUGAAAUCAAACCAUUUAAGCCAAUUAAACUUUUAAAUUAAAAAAAAAAACAAGAUUUGAAAUCAUUUUGAAUUUGCUUUUUAUGUGAUAGCAAACAACAAAACUCAUUUAAAAUCCAUUAUAAAUUGAAAAUUAUAAAAAAUCAUGCUAUUUCUAAGUGAGGAUUAAUUAGAUGGAUGCUCUUUCAAUUUAGAGAAUUAGUUAGAAUAUUAUACAUAAAAGAUAAAAAAAAUGGGUCAGGUAUAAUUUUGAGUGAGAAGUGAGAAUCAAAAUUAUGGAUAAGUAUAGGGUUAAGUAAAAAAGAGAAUUAAAGCAACGUAGAGAUUCCUACCCUCAAUUAUGUUCAAAGAUGAGGAUAAUUGACUUUCUUUUUCCCUACUACAAAAUAUGAAAAUACACUAUUUUGUGUUUGAAUGUGUUCAAUUUUUCUUCUUCUUCUUUUUUUCUUUUUUUUAAUGUAAUUUUUUAUCCUAAAUGGUCCUAGGUAGAAUAAAGCAUAUAAUUCAGGAGUGAAAUUUGUGGCCCCAACCAAAAUUCCAUAUACUCUGUCAUUGCAUGGGACUGCAAAAAAUAAUACUCUAAUAAAUUAUUCGUAAUCCACAUAUCAUUUAAUUACCAAAAUAAAGCUUAUGUUAUUAAAGAGUAAAAAGUAUAUAAUACAUUGAACAAUAUUGGUUAUAUACUAAUAUGAAUGUUUCUAUAUAUAAAUACUAAUACGAGUAUGUGUGAUUAUAGAUAAGCCAUGUGUAGCAAUGAACAUAAGGUUGAUGACAAGUGGUAGCAAAGGAUUGAAGUAUGAGCGAAGUAAAAUCCAAGUCUCAUAGAAAGCCAAUCAAAUCCACUCAAGUUUGGCAAAAAUAAUUUUAUUCAUAAUGAUGAAGUUUAGUGGAAUUAGUCAAACCAAGUUAGAGAUUUAAGUGGGUGGAAAAUCCAAGUGAAUAUUGGUUCAAACAUUAUUGUAAGUUUGAUAAAUUAGAAAAGAGGAUUCAAAUAGUAUCAUUUGAAUUUUAUAGUUUAAUACAUGGAUGGAAAUUGGAAAAUUUUGAAAUAUUCACAUGGAAGCAAGAUAUUAAGAAGCUAAAUGAGAAUUGAUUUAAAUCGUGCUUUUGAAAUAAUGAAUGGGAAAUUAGGAAGGAGCCAUGAAAUGAAAUGAAAAGAAAAGAAAGAAAGAAAGAAUGAGCUUCCCUCAGCCACGUGAUCUCCAUGUGCCUAUUUGGCUUAGUUUCAUCAAACAAAGCCCCACACCCCUUCAUCAAACAUCUUCCCUUUCUCACAUCUCUCCUUAUCAACACUUUUUUUUUUCUCUCUAAUUAAUUAUCAAAUUUCUUAAUACUUUAAAUAAUAAAUAAAUAAAUUAUUAUUAUUAUCUAAGUUUUAAAAGUAUAAAAUAUUCGUAAACAUAAAUUUCAAAACCGAAAAGAUUAUCAAACUCAAUUGUAACGAAUAAUUUUAAGUUUUAGAACAUUUGAGACUUGUAACUUUGAGUAAGCAAGUUUGAACUUUUUGACCUCUUUAUCCUUAUCUGAUUAAUUACAUAAAUCUAUUCAUUUUUUAUUUCAAGGAGUAGAGGUUUACCAAAACCUUGCAAUUGAUGAACCUUACAAGCUACUCAUUCUUUAAACUCUCUCUUGUGACAAUUUGUAAUGUUUCAAAAGCUAUGGAAUCAACUUUAAGAAAGUAAUUUGUAUGUCACUAUCACAUAAUAAAUUUAUUUUAUUUUACAUUUAUUUCUUAUAAAGUUUAGAGGGGAGUGAUAACGACUUUAAAUGAAAUUAUUUUCUUAAAAAAAAAAUCAAAAUUUUAAUAUUCUUUUAUAGUUCAAUUACAUUAGAAAAAUCAAUAUUUAAUAUUAUUAUCUUAACCAAUCGAAUCAUAAAUAAGUUUACAAUAAUUGUGAAAAAGGAGAAUCAAACUUUUCACCGUUUGAAAUGAAAGGUAUGUCAAUUCUUGCUUAACUAAGCUCACUUUGACAAUUAACAAUCAAUUGAAUUUUGUCAAUUAAGUCAUCAUUAUCAUAUUAUAUACUUCUAUAUUAUAAAACUCCAACUAUAUACAUUAGCAUAGUAGUUUUAGAAACGGUAGAAAAUAUAGCGAUUAGAUUCAAAAUAUUAACAUUUUUUAAAAAUUUUGAUCUUAGAUAAGAGUUUAUUAGGGAUAAGACUUCGCAAUAUUUGUAAUUUAAAAAAAUGUUAUUACACACGUGAUUAUUAUUCCUUUUAUCCUAAACUUUAUCCUAUAAUGAUAUUAUCUCAAACCAUGUUUUUAUAUGCAAAUUUAGAUAUAGAGAGGAGAUUCAGUUCAUCCUUCCAAUCUAAAAUUGCAUCUCACAGAAUUGCUGCAAAAUAAAGUGAACAAGUGUUUCCAUUGAUUUAAAAUCUUAAAAUUUAUGGAAAUUCUAAACUACCCUUCUAUGGAAAAUUUCACUCCAAUGUAUAACAGUUGAAUUAAGAUAGACAAUGUUAUAAAAUAAGUGUUGAGAAUCAAUGUGUAAGACUCUCCAAGCUCGUCCUACCAAUACAAUUUGUUUGUUUGUUUUUGUUUCCGUUAGGAAAAUUCUAACAAGUCCAUGAACAAAUAACAUAACAAUCAAAUUUGUACAGCUCUAACAGCUCUAGCUAACAAAGUCAAAUAUAUAAUGCGCACAUAAAUUAGCACUCCCAAGAAUUGAUACCACUUUGUUCAUUAUAAACACAUCACAAAAGAAAGUUGCUUAGCACCACAAAUUUAACUAUUAUAUACAAGUUAUAUACUUUCUAAUAAAGUAAUGAUGAACUUAUAAAAAAAUCAGUUACAUCAUCCUCUUUUCUUUUAGAAUUCUCAUAUCUAUUGAGAACAAAUAUUCUUCUACCUAUUGAGAACCUUUAAUUUGAAGAAAGUGAAGCCAAAUCUACCAUAGUAUAAAAAAUUUGGUCUAUAUUAGCAUGUUUUGUUGGCAUAGUCACAUAACUAAAUUUAAGAUUUAUGGAGAGCUAUGACUAAAUUUGACCAUUUGAAAGUACACACUUGAAAUGAAACCAAAUUAAAUUAUAGAAUCUACUUUGUAAGUGAAACCCAUUAGUGACUAAUGUGAGGGAAGGAAAGGCAUUGUAAUCUUGAAACCAUAUCAACCUAGGACAUCAAAUCUUACACAGACAAAGCUUUUGGCUGGAACAUUUGCCGCUGGUCCAAAACCAAAGUGACAACUUACUUUAACUUUUGAAGUUGAAAGGAAAUGAAAAAAGAAAAAAAUGGAAGAGUAAGAAAGAUUUUGUGCUCAGAAUCAGCAUUUAUUUAUGUUGUCUAAUCUUAGAUUAAUCAGGGAUCAGGUACCAUUACAGGGUAGUUUUUGUCUCUGUUCCUUUUAUCUCAAUUAAUAAAGCAAAACCCCAAUUUCCUUCUAAUUAUUGUCUACCCCCAUCCCUCCCUCUUUAGGCUUUAUGUAUAAUAUACCCAUUCUUUUGAUGUUAAUUUUCUUGUCCAUAUUCUAAAUUCUACUCAAAUCUCUCUUUUACUUCUAUUCAAAUACCCCCCCACCUUCCCUCAAUAAUUUUCUUCUUCCUCUCUUGUUUGGCCAAGAGGAAAAAUCUUUCUUGGGAGUUCUUGGUUUCUAAGAGGAGACUUGGGUUUUGUGAGGCUAAGAGAGUUUCAGUUCUUUUGAUGUUUUAUCCUGGUUCUUCUCAGAAGAUUCUCCAUGGGAAACCAAGCCUUUUGCAGCCAUGGAUACUGUUCUUUGACAUGCUCUUGUAUUUUGGUUUUUUGAGUGACUGGUAAGAUGCUUUGAAACUUCCUUAGAAUCCUAAAAGCUGUUUGAUUUAACUCUCAAAGAAUCAUCAUUCAUCAUCCUUUCUAGUUGAAGGCAGAUCAGGAAGAAUCAAAACAAAGCCCCCCUUUUUACAAUUGAGCUUUGAUUGAGGUCCUGAGAAGAGAGAGCUAGAAGGUGUGAACAGAGAACACAAGGGUUUUAUUGGUACAUGAGUGGAUAUGAAUUUCCUACUUUAAGUCUCUAUUAUGAAGCGAUUCAGCCAUCAAAGAAUUAUAGGGUUCUGAAUUAUCAAGUUUCACUGUAGAAUUUCAUCAACCAGGUUCAAGAUCUAAAAGUGAAUUACCUGACAGAACCAAUCCUGUUGUUGCUUUGGAGUAAUUAGCAGCUCCUAUGAGGAUGGAGUCCAAUCACCACCGUCCGCGUCCCCCUCGCCUCCUCCUCGACCCCGACACGACGGCACCACCGUCAAAUGGAAGCAGAACGCGAAAUUCAUAUAACAAUGAAGCCAAUUUCGAUACAAACAUGGUGAUAAUUCUUGCCGCGUUACUCUGCGCACUGAUUUGCGCUCUAGGAUUGAACUCAAUCGUCCGGUGCGCCCUCCGCUGCAGCCGACGGUUCGCCUUCGAAACAGGCGGCGGCACAGCCUCGCGUCUCACCGCUACAGGGCUAAAGAAAAGCGCAUUACGCCAAAUCCCGGUCGCCGUGUAUGGGUCGGAAACAGGCCUAGAGAUCCGAGAAACGGAUUGCCCUAUCUGCCUAGGAGAUUUCAUGGCCGGCGAGAAAAUAAAAAUACUCCCGAAAUGUAACCACGGAUUUCACGUUCGAUGUAUCGAUACCUGGUUAGCUUCCCACUCAUCAUGUCCGACAUGUCGUCAAUCACUGCUGGAACAACAAUCCGUUUCGGAAUCGGCGGUAACCGAGGCGGGUAAUCGAGGCGCCGGAAAUUCAUCGGCUAGCGGGCAAGGUGAGAUCUCGAUAACCGUAGAUGGAAUUACCUGAUUUCAAGGCUUUGCAUUUUGUUUCCAUUUGCACAUAAAUAUUCUUUAAUUGUUUUCAGUUUUUUUCUUAGCGUUUUUUAAGUAAUAAUAAUCUGGAUUAUACACUAAUUAAUACAAUUAGUGCUUAAUUAUGAGUUAUGUAUAAUAAAUAACCGCAUAAAUUGCAACUUUUUUUUUUUUUUUUUUGAAAAAUUUAGGUUAAACUUUUUUCUUUUACCACACAUGUUUGAGUGAGGAUUUUAACCUCCACUUCAUUUGAUAUAUUUUAUCUCAUUUUUCUCGUUAAAUUAAAUAUAUGAUUACUACAUUUUUAUCCUAUAGUCACUUUAUAUGUCUUACCGUUAUAGAUAAAUGUUGUGUUUUUAAGGGAUUGAGAAGUUGGCAUUGAUGAUUAUCCUCAAAUUACUUCACCAACAAGGCAUAAUUCCUACUUGUACAAAUAUUUAAUAAUUGUCCUGGUUCAUCCUUGUUUCAAUUUAAUUUGAGUAACAUUUCAUAUUAAAUAAACUAACAAAUUGAGAUCAAGUGAACCAACAAUAUUAUAUCUUACUCACUAAUAUUUAUUAGUUAAAUUAAUUUGAUUUUAUUAGUUUCUUAAAGAAAAAGAUGACAUUAUAAUGGCUAAUUAAGGUUGUUAGUAACCACGUGCAUUUGUAAUUAAAAAUUAUGUUAAUCUUAUUUAAAUUGCUGCCAAAUCUAAGAAUUAAAUACAUUUUUUUCCAUAGACUACUUCAAACAUAGGCUAGGCUUAGGUAUAUAUUUAUUAAGUUUAAAGUGUGUGUAUAUGUAUAUAUAUAUAGAGAGAGAGAUGUAUAUUUGUUAUGUUACAGUUUUAAUUAUGGCACACAUUCAUAUCUCUCUCCCCAUUAUUGUACUCAACAAAAGUAACCUUAAUUUAUUUUUACAAUUUUGAAGAAAGUUAGUUUGGGCAAUAAAAGAGUUUUUUGCCCUCUAGAGUUGAUUAAUUUAUAUAUUUACCAUAAAAUGAAAACCAAGCACUAUGUGAUGUUUUAAGUAAUUGAAUUAUGUUGAUCAUAUAUUUGUUUUUUUUUUUUUUAACAGAGAUAAUUUAAAAAGUGUGUUGUUUAUCAAUAUAUUGUAUAUGAGAUCUACUCAAAUCCAUAAUCAAUAAACGAAAUCUUUAAAUGUGUAGCUGAAAAUAAUUGAAUCAAUUGUGUUUAAAAAUUACCUCAACUCACUCACUUUUUUCAUGUACUUUUAUACACUUUCAAUUUUUGUCUUCAAAUGUCAAAAAUCAUUCUAAUUAACCUUAGUCAAGACUAAUAAGGAUAACAAAACAAUAAUACAAGAGUAAACAACCUCAUCAAAUUAUACUUGCAAAUUGUGUUAACUAAAUGUGACUAAAAAUUAACAAUCCAAUUGAUUGCUCUACUAAUGAAAACUCGAUAAUAAUUGAAUUGUUGUGAUAUUGAAAAAGAAAGAAAGACUUCGUGGGAAUGAAAGGGUGUGGAGAGAAUUUUUGAGUUGAUAUAAGAUGUGACAGAUCCUUAUAAAGAAUAAACAAUAUUAGUAGACAUAGUUAGAGUAGAUGAUGUAGAAUAGGCUUUGUAGAAUUAAUAUGAAUUUAAUGUGGUUAGGUGAGUAGAAAUGUGUCAUUUAUAAGAGGUAAAUAAUUUAAGUAUAAGCAUUGAUUAAAACAAAAUGGAAAAAAAAGGGUCCACAAAACAUAAAUGGGAUGGGGGAAUUGAAUGAUGAAGUUUAAUUGAGAAAGGCAAUUCCAACCAUACUUCUUUCUCUUUCUCUUAACCAAAGGAGAAACCCAAACUGCCAAAUUAAAACAACUUUAAAAUUUAUUAACUUUCCAUGGCUUCUUUUUUGGAAUUUUGUUAUUUUUAAUGCUCAUUGCCCCCCAAAAAAAUCAACUAUGUUUUCAUUUUUUUUCUCUUUUAGGACAACAAACGCAAAUGCAAAACCCAACCAUAAAAAGAAAGAGAAGAAAAGCAUCAAAAUGAGUCUUCAAACCCAUGUCGUUUACUAAUGAAAAUUACGAGCAUGAGUAGCUAACUCACGUGCAAAAAAGUUACAUCUACGAUUACCCUAGCGAAAACCAAAUACGAAACCUAUGUUAUCAAAAUAGUAAUAUUAGAAGUUGUCUUUCUUCCAUUACCAAAGUUUCAAUAUUUAUCAUUUACUUUUUUUUAUCAUUAUUAUUAGAUGACUAAAUAGUUAUUUAUGAAAAUGGAAUGAGCUUCCACCAUAAAGAUCAAAAGUUUAAGGCUCUUCAUUACGUAGUUGUUGUAUUUUUUAAAAAAAUACUAAUAUAAAUAUGUAGUUUGUAUAUUAUUUUAGGUUGCACGUCUCAAUUAUUAUAUAUAGUAGAAAAAUAAUAAGGAUUCAUAUGUACAUGUAACAACUAACACUUUAUACUAAACUAAGAUCAUUACCUAACAAUUUUACAGUUUUCUGAAGAGAGGAAAUUAAAUCUUUAAUUAAAAAAAACUUUCAACAAUUGUUGAGGAAACAUAAUUUGACGAAAUCCGUAAAAAUAUCAUGAAAACAAGCUCGAGCUGGUUCUAACUAAUUUUAAAGAAUAUAAUUUUUUUUAAAAAAAUAAAUAAUUAAAAUGUUUAAAAUCGAAAAGAUUGAAAACUAAUAAAUGAAAAGUGGAAACAAAACUGAGUCCCCAUAUGACAUGUCACAGACUCUUCUUGUUGCUUGCCAGCUUUCCAUUUUCUUUACAUAUUGGUCUCGCAAGGUGAUCUGUUAACUUUUCGUUAGGAGUACCAUAAAAUAAUAAUAUCAUGUGUAUGGUGGAAGACACCUAAUCUAAUGAUCUCUUAGGAACACUCAUAGUCUGAUAAUUUCGAAGGAACAUACAACAUAUUGAGCUGCAUGUAAUCCUGCCAGACCACAUAUAGAGACUAACAGAUUGGUGAUCCCGUCAUAUGCACACUAUCAUAAAGUUGUAUAAGGUGGUGAUCCCAAGGGACACUGUACAUGUGGAAUACCCGACCUAACAACUAAAGUUAAUAGACACCACAACCCAAAAGCAUGUAACAAUCAUCAUAAACAUGACAUGAAACAUUGUUUAUAAUCAUGUAAUCCAUAAAACAUCCAUAGUCACCAUAAUACAUUAGGCAUUAACUACAACAUCUCAUUAUGCAUUUUUAGCUACCAUCAACAACCCAAUUAAACAGUUAACAAAAAUUUAAAUAACUUAAAUUAAUAAAAUUAACAAUGGCAAAAAAGUUCCACAAAUCAAGUUUCCAAAGUUAACUAAUUGAACUGUGAAGGAAAAAAUUCAAUUAGAACUAAAAUUGCAAAAAAUUAUCAUUUUAUGGGUAUAUCCAAAACCCAUAAAAAAUGCAUCAAAAUCUUACAAAAGGUAGCUAAAAAAACUAAAAUCCGCUUGGCUUGGGAGGAAGAGGCACAACUUCACUCAACUCGAAAAGAUUGGCUCGGUGAGGGACGCAUGACUAAGAGGAGGCCCUUUGGCUUGCGUCGGCUCGGGUGGAAGGAUGUGCGACUGAGCGGCGUGGGACGAAAGCCUGUUCGUUUCGUGUAAGGGGCUCGAUUGACUUGUGAAUGCUACUGCUUGAACAGAAAGCACAGUUUACUAUAUUUUGUAAAUAUGUUAUGAAGUUUAUCAUUUUUGACAAUUUCUCUAAUUAUUAUUAUUGUAUUAUCCUUUUUCCUAAUAUUUUUUCAAUAAAUUAAUUAAAAUCUCAUCUCUUCCCUCGAUGGAGAACAUAAUUUUGAAAGCACCAUAAUCUCAUGGUGAACAUAUGCUAAACAAUAGAACACAUAAAACACGAUAUCUUAAAAAAAAAGAAAAAAGAAGAAGUAAAUUCUAAUUUUAUCUUUUACAAGAGGAAACAAUAUAAAUGAUUAUUUUACUAAUUAUAAUAUUUUAUAAAAAAAAAUUAGAUACAAAAAAUAAAUAAAUUUUACAUAUAUCACAUGUGGUAUAAGUUAGUGUAUAUAUAAAAAAAAUGUCUGAAGUAACAUGUAAUAUAUUAGAUGAUGAGAUUUAUUUUUAAUUAAGCAGAUGUAUGAAGUUAAAGUAAUUGAUAAAUCAAGUUGUUAUUUUUAUAAUUAUUUUGAUAUAUAUAAACAAAAAUGGAUAUAGUAAUAGCCUAAUAAUUGAGAUGAAUCCCCACAAGUAAAAAGUGGAAAUUUCAAUAUUUUCAUAAGAGAAUCAUUAUUUAAUAUAUAUUCCUUCUCCUCAUGGAAUGUGACAAAGCUAAUCAACCAAAAAAAAGUACAUCACAAUGCUUUGUGCUAAUGUACCACAAGUUAAUUAUAUAUAAUUCUUCCCCUCUUAAAAAAUAAAGUUUAUAUAAUUCAUUAAAUUUGUGACCAUACAAAAAUAUGUGUAACAAAUUUGCAAUAUAUAGUACAAAACAUUUAGAAUACAAUUAUUAAAACAAUAUGCUUGGUUCAAAAAAGUUAUUCAAAAAGACAAAUCAUGGUUGUUGAUGAAUCUUGCAAAGAGAGAAAAUGUUGUUCCUUUUUUUAAAAAAAAUAUCUUUUCUAAUGUUAUUCCUUCCUUCUAAUAUUAGACAAUUUGAUUGAAUUUGAGGAAUAAAAUUUUUUUCUACAAAAUUAUUAAUUGAAGAAGUGGGAGGAUUUUUAAUUUUGUAAAGAAUAUAAAAUUAUUAUUAAUAAAUGUGACGUUAAUUAUUGUUAAACUAAGUUUGAUAAAUUAGGGAGAUAACUUGAGUUGGCUAGCAAUUAUUGAAAAAUAAUAAUCAUCAUUUAUAGAAAAUGAAACUCGUUGUGAGUUGACUUUAGAAUCAAGGUAAAAAGAUUUAAAAGAAAAAAACAAAAGAAGAUUGGAGUAAGAGACUCGAGAACAAACUAGACCUUAUCUAUCUGCCUCUGUUGGGUUGUGGUUGAGUUUCUUAUGUUAGCUUGAGAGGUAGAAACGAAGCAUAGAAUAGACCUAGCAUGCCUAGUUUCAUAAUUAUAUUGAAGAGAUGUAGAUCGCGAUCCCAUUAAGGGCAAGACAAGAAGCAAACUAAAGAAUAUAAGUCUGCAAAUUCCAAUUAUCAAAACAUACGGGACUUUAAUUGCAAACUAAUUAAAGAGGGUUAAAUUUAAUACUAAUAAACUACAAUAGUAUAACUCACAAAAUAGUUAUACUUACAUGGCUGUUGGAUAUAUAAAAUACAUUGUAGGUGAAUGACUUUAGGACAAAAACAACAUAUAACAAAAGAAAUUUUGAAAAGGAAGAGAAUCUUCAAUUAUAAGAAUGAGAAAAAAUAAAAAACUUUCCUAAAAGUUAGAAUUUUAUUUAAAAAAUAUGAAGUUUGACUGUUUGCUAGCCUUAUUUAUUUAAGAAAUUAAAAAAAAAAAACCUUAGUUAUUUAGGGCUCAUGUGGUAACGUUCUCGUUCCCUUUUUCUUGAAAAAAUAGAAACGUUAUCCAUUUUAUAAGGAAUUGGAUAAUUGUAAUGGAUGACCAUUUGAGGAAUAAUAAUUAAGGAUAUAGCAACAUUUAAAAAAAAUUGCAAAUAUAGCAAAAUUAUCGUUGAUAGACUUGUAUCACGGAUAGAUUCGUAUGAUCUAUCGGUGAUAGACCAAUUUAGGUUUGAUAAAGUGAGUGGUAUAAUGUUUAAUUGAUUUAGAUGUAAAUAAAAUAGCAUGAAUAAAAUAAAAAAUAAAUCUCAAAGAAAAGAAGAAAAGAAGAAAAAGUUAUCAAAUACAUUUUCUAUUUUUUUUUCAAGAAACAAUAUCAAUUAUCAAACACAUUUAUGAUUCUUAUUCUAAAAAAUAAGAAGAAACAAAAAACAUGAAAUUGGGAACAAGAAAUAGAAAAUAGAAACAUUUUCAAACAGGUCGUUAAUGAAAUAUUUUGAAAAUAAAAGUGAGUGUACUUUUUUAUGUUAUUUUAAAAAUCCAAGAUUUAUGUAUAUUGAAAAAAAAAAUCAAAUAAUUCAAGAUGUUGCUUCCAUGGUUAGUUUGCUAUUUUAACUAAAAAUUCAUUAAAUCUAUAUUUGGUAGAAUUUGAGCAAUAUUCCAGAUAUUCAAGAAUAAAGAACCAAACUUGUUUGUAUUUUUUUCAAAGUAAAACUAUCAAAUUCUAUUCGAAUAUACAUUAAAAAUAAAAAUAAAAAUAAAAAUGAAUCUAAUCUAAAAUAUAUAUUAUGUAUUUAAUUAAUUAGAUAAUUCCAAAUUAUUAUUAAAAAUAUAUAUAUAUAUAUCAUAUAUUAUUUAAUUAUAAAUUACCGAUUAGUAAAUGGUUAAUGAGAUAACGAACAAUAUUUGUAAUAUUUGCCAUGCAGUUGUUGUAAUAUCUCGUCCAACAACAAAAUUACCAUAUCUCCCUCAAGUUGGAUUUAUUAAUUUUUUCUUUUUUUUUUUGCUAUUUUCGCAGAUGUUAUCUCUAAUUUUGCUUUCUAAAAAAUCUUUCAAUUGACCAAAGCAAACAAAAUCGAGAUAAAUGGCAAAAUCCAAGUUUUAGUUUGGACAAAUAAGGAAGAACAAAGAAAUGCUAAUUUUAAAAAUGACAAAAACCAAAAAAUUAAUAGAAUAAAAAAAGAAGAAGGGAAAUUGUGAACCACAGCUACCAUGAAAUGUUCCACCCCGACUCAGUUGCUCGUUUCUGCCAUGGAUUGUGGUUGCAGUUUCUCGUUUCUACAAACUUGAUUUACAGUUGAUUGUACAUAGAUUUUGAAUUAUUUGUAUUUGAUCCUCUAUACCAAAUAAAAUCAACUUACUUCAAAACUGUUUGAAAUACAUUCUAUUUUUAUACUUUCUGAUUGCAAAUUAUAUAAAUUUAACUUAUAUCAUGAUCAUCAUACAUCUAUUAGAAUUGUAUCUGAUGUGUUCUACAAGAAGAAACAAACCCCUAAAAACAAACUUGAUUUUUAUUAUACUUUUCAAUUGCAAAUCAAUCAUCAAAGUUUCUAUAUAUUACAUUUGAUUCAAAGACUGUAUACAACCAAAAGCUACCGUCCAGUUAAAUUUAAUGAUAGAGGGAAGGAUAUUGAAGUAUAAAAUAACAAAUCAAAAUCAAAAUGGUGAUAAACAAACUAAAGAUGGAUUAAUGCUAAAUAUUUUUUCGAAACCGUCCAUUAUUCAAAUUUCAAACUUUAGUUCCUUAUCUUUUGAUCCUAUUCGAUUGGAAUCUACUAAGAAAAUACAUCAUGUGACCAUACCACAUGUAAAUUGUGGUUUGUAAAAGUAUAUUUCAUCUUCUUCUGUGCCACGUGUACAGCUUUUUUUUCUUUCUUUCUAAAAUUAAUUAAAAAAAAGGUGUCGUGUGUGAGAAAUAAAUAACUGCUGACAGUAUAUAUUCAACAUUUUACAUGUUUUUUAUAAUUACUUUUUAGAACAAAUUUCAUUUGAAUUUGUUUUGAUUUGAUCUACAAACUCCAAACAAUAUCAUUUACGUAUUUCAUUUUGGUCAUAUUAAACAUUCAUUUUAAGUUAACACAUUGCAUAUUUUGCAUGUUAAUUAAAAAGACAAUAAUACUAGAUACAACAACUUAAUGUGUUUAUACCUUGUGAUAUUUAAGUUACCUAAUCUAUCAUAUUUUGUAAUAUUUAUUUGCUAAAUCUUUAGAGAUGUGCUUUUAUAUAUAUAUAUAUAUAUAAUGUUUAAUUUAUUUAGUUUUAAAAGUGCAGUAUUUUAAUAAAUAUUUUAGAAAAGUGAAUAUGGUUAACUAACCAUUAAUUACCACAUUUUUAGGUGAGGAAUUAAUUAUUAAGAGUUAACAACUUUGAUUGGAGUAUUGUUGAACAGUGAGGGAAUGAGGUCAAUUCAUUCCUAAAUAUAUCAUGAUCCAAUUUUUUUAUCUAAAUAAUCAAAGGGUAAUUAUUAUUAUGUAUAUUUAUAUUUGAAUAUAUAUUGAUAUACAUAUCUAUUAUCUGCCACCUUUCUAGAUAAGAUCAUAAAUAAAUUAAUUAUCAAAUCGGUGUUAAUCAUUUUUAAUCCACUGCAUUUAAAUUGCCUUCCUGUAUAAAUUAUAAUUAUAUUAAUCCAUUUUCAUUAAAUCAAUAUUAAUACCAUUUUUUAUUAAAUACAUUUGAAAAAAAAAACUCAAUUUUGCAUUUAUCAAAUUAUAUCCUUAAACGAGUAUUUAAAUUUUUUGUAAUUCAAUUUCUCCUAAUUUAUGGCCUAUUGUUAACAAAGAAAAGUUAAUAAAAAUAUUCACGAAAAUGCCAAAAUAAACCGAACUCAAGCUAGUGAGAGUGUGUAAGUUUGUAUGUUGUUAGUUUGUUGGCCAAUUCGUCACUAAUCCAAAGAUGCAAAUUGGAGAAUUCUUCAAACACUUAAAUUUCACUUCUCAAAAUAUUUUCAAUUUAGUCUUUGAUUUCUAUGGCGAUUUUAGGUUUCUCCUCUCUUUUGAAAGCACACAAACUCUACAAAAAUUUGCAUGGAUCAUAUCCCACCCCUUGGAAAGUUAUACACAAUAAAAACCAACCUCCUGCCUCCAAUCCUAAGUGUGAUAAGUGGUUUGAUAGAAAACAAGCCCUAAUUACUCUUCUAAAUACAACGCUAUCUUCAAAUGCUUUUGCAUAAGUGGUUGGUUGUGGAACCGCAUAGGAAAUAUGAGAGAUGCUUGACAAACAUUUCUCCUCAUCACCACGCACGAACAAAUAUAGUAAAUCUCAAAGACCGAGUUGAAAUCAGUUACAAGGAAGUUAAGGCAAAAUAUUGAUUCCUAUAUUGGUCCAAUUAAAGAGUUGGUAAACAAGUUGGUUGUUGUAUAGGAUGAUUCAAAAAAUCUAAAAAUCUAUACUAUGCAACAAGAUCAGGCAAUUAAGUUCAAUGAACUACAUGCCAUGUUAAAUAUUGAAAUAUUUUCUUGAAACGGAAUCUAAAGUUGCAAUGAUGACAAACUUUGUAAUCGUUACUCACAACGAAUGAAGAAACGAACCUAGUGAGGUAAUUCAAGAACAACCAAAUUAUAUUCUUCAAAUCAAUCGAAUUCUUAACAAUUUCACUCAAAUCGAUCCUUUGAUUAAAAUCUCAUAAACAACAAAGUUCAUUGUCAAGUUUGCACAAAGUUUGGCCAUACGACUCUUGAUUGUUACAAUAGAAUGCCUACGUGGUCACAUCUACGAUCUAUCGCAUAGAGUAGAUAGAGUAGGGUGUGAUAAGAGCUCUACACCAUCUUACUUUAUUAGACCUAAUUUGUCAUUUGUUGGCAGAGUAAUUCAAUUUAUGCACAGUCCAACUUUUAUUCAACUUAGAAUACGUCAAAGGGACUUUAAAAGCGGGUACUAAUUUUAAGAAAGGAUCAUUUGCUCUAUCUGCCUACUUAGACUCUAACGGACUGAAGAUAAGUCAAAUCGACAAUCAACAACUAGUUUUACUAUAUUUCUUGGCUCUAAUUCAGUGUCUUGAGUGUUUAAGAAACAAUAGAGUGUUUCAAGUGUUUCAACAAGCUUUAUUGAAACAGAAUAUUGAGCAUUUGUAUGUAUUUCUACCUCAUGCUGUUUUAUUAUAGUAUGAGAAUCAAUUAGCUAUUCAAGUAGCUCAUAAUUUGGGUUUCCAUGAUAGAGCAAAGGAUAUUGAGAUUGAUUUUCAGUUUAUUAGAGAAAAUGUUGAUCCAAGGAUUUGUGCCUGAUCUUCAUGCCUUCAACUCAACAACUUGCUUAUCUUUUUAAGAAGGUCUUUAUCUACAGAUCGACUUAAAUUUCUGUGUAACAAACUCAUGGUGUUUUAGCCAUUUGUUCGAGGGGGUGAUAGUAUAUUAAACUUAUAUUAUAAUAUACUAUAAAUUAAUUAAUUAUAAUCUCUCAUCUCAUUCUUGUAUAAAUAUGUGAGAAAUAUUCAUUAAUAAAUAUGGGGAGAUUUUACUUUCUGAAAGUCUUCAGUAUUUGCAAUUUUAUCGUUUGAAUUAAAAGAAUAAGUAGGAAGUUUUAAAUAGUUUUUAUCAAAAUAGUUUAGAUAAACAUGAAGUUUUUUAAUCGAAAAAAUAGGAGAAAAAAAAGUUUGGAUACUGAUUUUUGCAUAACUUUUUUGCUACCCAAAAUCACUUUUGCACAAAAUAUAGUGUUUUGGCAAAUUCAAAGAAAGUAAUUUUAGAAAAAUAACAAAUCACUCUAAACUAAUUUUUGAAGCAUUAUCUGUUUGGUGAUGGUGAAAAAAUGAUUAAUUGGGAAUUACCGAAUUAUCUAAAAUACCUUUUUUUUUUUUAGUAAUUUGAUAGUUCUAAAAUUAUUUUUAAUUUUAAAAGAAAAUCAAUUUAAAAACAAUCUUAGAAGGAUGGAUAUCACCUCACGUUUGAUGAGUCAGCAUAAAUAAGAUGACAUGGAAAUAGAACUAAUUUUAAUUGGCCAGCGUUGAAGAAAGGCAGAUGCCAAGCUGCGUGUGCGCCUCCGAACUCCAUGCAUAUUCCUCACGCUACCACGUGCCAACUCAGCAAUAUAUCCCGAACAACGUGGGACCCACUCAUCGUGAACAAAUCAACGGCCACGAUCAAACCUCUCAUCUCCCUUACCCAUUUUUCUCCAUUUUAAUUCACCUUAUUUUCGCGUGUAAAACUCGUGGAAAUCCCCUCGACUCCACGUUCUUUUUUGCCUAAACACGUGGCAGCUCCCUCUCCUGAUCACCUGCAUUAACCUCCACCAUAACCACAAGAAAUCCACGAUACCCAACUCGACAACACGGCAGGACGAGGAUAAUAUCGUCAUUGUGGAUUAUAAAGGAAGGAGUUGCAAAGAAAUAAAAUGAUACGUAGCACAGAGGAGUAAAGUUAUGGUGGUGAAAGAAGAACACGCGAAGCCCACGAGUUGAAUACUUCGGGACUUUCAAUCGAAUUAAAAAAGAAAAAGAAAAAGAAAAUCCAAAAUUGACCAUUUAAAUUGGGAAGAAUUUAGAUUUUCGUUUUCGAGUAACGCGAUUGGUGUAAUCCUUUUCGGAAAAGAAAAUCUUGAUUAAUCCUUUUCGGAAUAGAAAAUGUUGAUUUAAUCCUUUCGAUUUAACCAGUCUCGUUGCCUCCUCCACCGGCGCCGUCGUUGUUUGAAUCAAUCACAAUCAGACUUUCAGCCCAAAAGCGAUUUCAAGAAUUAUUAGGGAAGGCAAUCAAUCGUCUUCCCCAUCCUUUCAUUCUUCUUUAAUUCGUCUCUCCACUCCAACCCAAUCCAAUGGCUUCUUUUGGAAUUCGAUGUGGAGGAAAUUGCGGUGUGUUGAAUCUUAACGACGGAUGCGAUCACAAACCAUUCCCUCCUCCUCGUUCUGUAGUCGCUUCCACCGCAAGAUUAAGGAAACCAAGGAGUUACAUUACCGCGAUGAAGAGUUUAGAGCCGGUGAUUAGAAGAAAAAACGUAGACGAUGAAGUAAUCUCAUGCGAGAAUUUAGAUGAAUGGAUGAAGGAAUCAGUGGUUGACAUUGUGAAGAAUCUUCGAGAAGCACCUCUGUUUGUAAGAUUUUACAAAGAGAACGGGAAAACGGCGAGAUUCGAAACGGAGAAGGCGGUGGAGGAAGAUAGAUGGCCCAUCUUGGAAAAUCAAUGGAAAAACGGAGCAGAAGCGACGCCGGAAGGGAUCAUAUUCGUACAAAAGCUUGAAGACGAAGAAGAAGAAGAAGAAGAAGUUGAGAUGGAAGGGGAACCGAAGGCGUGGGGGAUUGUAGUACAAGGGAGAGGAGUUGAAAGAGGAGCACCGGUGUGUUACUUGUUGAAGACGAGUAGAGCGGCUGGGUUAGGGCUAUGGUGUACGCAUUUCUGCUUGGUUAGGGUUAAGAAUUUCAGAGAGACGACGAAAUCGCAGCUUCAAAAUUGUUGGUUGAUGCAGAAUCAAUAAAGAAGAAGAACAGUGGCGGUUCAAUGGUUAGAUACACUCAUAAUUUCAAAUUCAAUACUCAACGUGAAGUAAUUGUUCAUAGUUUUUUUUUUUUUUUUUUUUUUUUUUGGGAGUUUGUGUUCUUUUGAUAGAAAAGGAAUAUCGAAAUACUUUGGGUGAGGAUGAAGGAGGAGAGGGAUAGUUAGUUAUUUUAUUUUUCAUUUUUUUUAUUGUUAAUUAUUUAGUUAUAUAUAAUAUCUAAUUAGUUAUUUCCAAACUAUACCUAUGCUCAUCUCUCACUCUUUUGGAUUUGGAUUACUUGAAGUGGUGGACACUCUAAAUCUUUUUUAAUACUUCCUUUAGGUGUUGGAGAUGCAAUAGUGUUACUAGUAAACAAAACUCUAUUUUACAAAUAAAUAUUGUUAUUGAAUUACUCUAUUUUACAAACAAAUAUUGUUAUCAUUGAUAAAAUCAAAUUAUAUAUUUGAUAUAUUUAAAAUUAUGCUUUAAUCCGAUCUACACUAUCAUACUAAUUUUAUUUUAAUAAAACUAUCUUUUACAAACUAUAGUUUACUUCAACGCAUGUUGGUAUGAACGAACCUCUUUCCUUUAAAAUUGUUUUUGGUAUUAAAAUAAUAUAUACUUAUUUAUUUUAAAAAACCCAAAUUCAAAAAAUUGAAAUACUGAGUUUGUUCUUUUCUUUUUUUAAAAAAAAAAAAAAGAUUCGGCUACCAUUUUAGAAUUUGAAAAUAUUGGAAUUUUGAAACUUAAUUUUCAUCUACAAGUAGUACUAUUCAAAUUUUGUUUUUAAAGGAUAAAUUGAGAGUUGUUGGUUUGAUGGUUAAUCUAAAAGAAAUUGGAUUAAGAAAAACAUAAAAAUGUAAUGAAUUGAUUGUUGUGUGCUUUUAUAGACAUUUUGGUUGAAUAUAGUUUAUAGUUAUAUUUAGAUCCCCAUUAGUUGUAUUCUAUAUUUGUAUUCUACUUCAUAUUUAAUAGUUAAUUAAUUUGGUCAACUUAAACUCAAAAAUUUUAAUAAUGGAAUUAAUUAAUUAUCCUUUCAAGAAGAGAAUUAGUUAACUAAGUCAAAUCAUCCAACCAAAAGACAAUGUUAAAUACAUGGAAACAAUCCCACAGACAACGAGAGCUAGCUCAUCUAUUCAACAAUUUUAGUCACAUACUACAUUACUCUUAGAUCGUUAGAUAUGACAAAAUUGAUUCUCUCAUUAUUCCUCCAAGAUGAUAAUGUUUUUUGUCACAAAUUUCAGUUGACUUAACUAAACUUUCGAAAUUUAUAAGAAAUAACUUUCUAAAGUUUCCAUCUUUCACGACUAACACAUUUUCUAAAUGCUCGUUUAUAUAGUUCUUGCUUUAUGGUUGAGAUCGAGCCUAGGAUUAAGUUAGUCACGUGAAAAUUAUUAAAUCAAUGUUUUAAAAACUCCAUCUUAUUUGUACAUUUUGGGGUUUUCUUCUCUUUCCAUAAAAUCUCUACAUAAAAUCACAAAAACAAGGUUAUUUAUCUCUAUCUUGUAUUUAUUAAAGAUUGUUUGAUUUCUAAGGUGCAUGUUGUUGACCCCAGAAAAUGUGUUUCAUUCUUUUACAUAAUCUCAACGUAAACACACAAAUCUCGAAUGAAAUUCGUACGUUUUGCCUCAUAUUGCCUAAAAGAAUUAAAAUUCAAGCGAUAUAUAUAGAUUUUUGAACCAAUAUGCAUAACUUUUCAUGGGAUUUGUAUUUCUUUGCUUUUAUUCCAAAUCUGUCACAUAUUCAUUUCUUUUGAAUAAGAAUGGGAAUGAGAACAAAUACGCAAGGCUACAUGAAAGGUACAAUUUUAGAUGUUGGAGUAAAGUAUGGGAAAUGUUUACAUCAAAUAUAUAGAAUAGGUGGUGUUAUGGGUCAAAUUUGGACCAAAAGGCAAAAGCUGACAUAUAUAACGAAGAAGAAGUCAUUGGGCUACGAAAAUAAUAGCAAAUAGACAAACAAAUGUGACAAGAUGAUGAAUUGGGCUUAAGGAGAAGACUAAUUAGGUUUUCAGCCAAAGUAGGUUGAUCGACCUCAACUUCAACCAAGGGUGAGGUCAGGUCGACCUUCUUUAGUGAAGGAUGAGGCUGAGGUCAACCUUCUUUGUUUGAUGAACGAAGCUUACUACAACAUGUUUUAGCCUUGAGAAGAGGAUGAUUUGGGUAAAAGGUCAAAUCUCAACAAUUUUUUCCUCGGUCUUACUAAUGAUUAGGUUGAGACUAAGCCUCAAAAUUCAGUGUGUACAUCUUUUCAUCUUUUAGGUCACUCUUUCCCAAAUUAUAAAUUUGUUGUUGUUGCCACGUGAAAGUCAGAUACAUUUUUCCUUGUUCAAAUUUUAGCAUCAACAAAAUCAGGCAUCCUGAUGAAGCUUCUCACUAGUGACACCUUCUCUAUCACUAUCAUCAUGCAUUUACUGAUGUCCUCCACAGUAAGGCCCGAGAUGGACUCCAUAUGCAUAAUGACCUCCUGCACCAUCGUGUCCUCCUAGUCGAUCGGUUUAUCAGGCCAUUCCGCAAUGGUCUUAAGUUGAUCAGUCAUAGCGUCAAUGUAAUCCCAAAUCAAGUCAUAAGUCUCAAAUUGUUGCAUGUCGUGCUUUAUUUUCUGACUGCUAGAGCUUGCCCUAGCGUCACUUUUUUUACCAGAUCAAUCGGCCAUCUUGUCAUCCAGUGACAUGUUCAUCCUUGGGCUGCACAUAGCCAAGAACUCGAUCUCGAGGCCAUCCUCUACGGGGACACCAUCACUGGAUCCUGGCACAUUGAACCUGAUGUCCAUGAACGUUUCCGCACGGACACCAGUCACGCGGUCUUUCCCAAACACAUAAGAAAACUCAUCGUUAUGUGGGAAAGACUUGUUCAUGAGUCCUUUUGCUGCAGCAUGUGUCUAACAAAUUCAAGGAAAAAACAAAGCGUUUAGUAAUCCAAUGUAACCCAUUAGUCAUAUAAUUAAGUUCAGAAUCUUAUCCGGACCUAAUUUUCGAACACGUCCCUCUCGGCGAUGAUGCACCUGAAGUCAUCGUUCCAGACGAAGUCACUCCCUAUUGGGCCCCUUAUCUCAGCAAUGGCUUGAAACGUCUUUUUCAACAAUUUUAUUUAGCUUUUGAUGACGGUGGUCAUCAAACCGUAAUCGGGCAUUCUUUCUCCUAACAUUCUAUCCAAUUGUGCUAAAUAACCUGAGUUGAGGGUCCUAUUGUCCGACCUCUACCCCAUGUUUAAACCCUAAGGUUGGAAACCUUAGAAAGAAAAGGAAUAAAGAAGAGAGAGUGGUUAGUUGAAAGUAUUAAGAUGGGAAAAUAGGAUAAUUUUUUUUUAAUUCUUUUCCCUCUUUUCUUUUCGUUAUGCCAAACAUACCUCAAGGUUUAAGCUUUUCAUGUUAUGGUUCAACAUUUACCGUUUCAAGGAUUUAUGAAUUAUUACUUCUAAAGGUUUAUAAAAAGUUAUUUAGAAAACUAUCAAUCAAACAUACACAAAACAUUAAUUUAAAUAUAACGAAUUAUAUUUAACUAAGUAAUAUCAUGCAUCAUGCUUAUCCAAUUUCAUAUAUUUAAAAUAUCAACAUAUUUUGAAUUACUGAUGAAAUUCAUAAUCACUCGUGAUGUUCUAACACUUAUAAUAUAUAAAAAUACAUGAACAUGUUUAACCUAAGUUUUCAAAACGGGAGCUAUUCCUACAAAAUUGUAUUUGUUUAGGCAUAUUCUAAAAAGAGGUUUGACAAUUGACAUUUCUUUUUUUAAUUGAAAAUGUGAUGGAGGAAGGAAUAUAAUUUAUUGGGUCUUUUUUCUUUUUUCAUUGUGUUGAUAAAUAUUUUCUUUUAUAAAAAAUGGAGCCUGAUUGGACUUCGUCGUCUCUCCGGACGUAACGAAGACGAAGGAAAGAGAUUAUAACUGCAGACCUUGUUCCGGUGGCACGCCUGCGUCUCUCUCUCCCUCUCUCCCUCUCUCCUUCUCUCGUUGACUUUGACUUUUCCAUUGACAACUUCUUCUUCCAUCUAUCUUCCUCUUUGAAUUCCAAUCCUUCACCUAUCUGCCCUGUUUCCGCCUUCUCGAUUUCUUCGCGUUUCUGUUCCAUUCGCCACUCGUAGAACGACGGCAGAUCUUUUCCGGCCAUGAAUCGUGAUUUGAUUUUCCUAUUCCUCUUCUUCCUUUUCAUUCUCCUCUCUCCUGGAUCCGAUGCUUCUUUCCCUAACCGUUUUUGGAAUCUUCACCUCCGGUUCGCGGUUUCGAAGGAUUCUCUUCAGGUUUGUUUGCUUCGUGAUUUCCUUUUUCUUGAUUUUUUAUGCAACUUUUGGAUUGCGGUUGACUUUAAAUUUAUAUUCCGCCGUUCCUUUUUUUUUUUUUUAGAGUGUAGCCCCAACUCCUGGUCCUAACUCUGUUGUCAAUGGUAAAUUGAGUAGGGGCGCCCCAACAAAUUCUCCAACUCCUGCAAUCCCUCCAUUUCCCAAAUCAACUGAUGGGUUUACUACAGAGAAGUGUGACUCGUCCUACAAGACUUGCCAUGACCUUAAGGAUUUGAUUGCUUGCCUUCUGUCAGCAGAACAAGGUAAUCGCGUUUUUUCUUCCUUUUUAGUUUCUGCCAUGAGACUUUUUCUUCUCCGAAUAAUUUAAGUUUUUUUAUUUGUGAGGACUGUACCUCCUUUUAAUUUAGAAAUGAGCAUUCUUCUCAUGAUGCUCUCUGAUUAUUGGUUAAUGAAUUUGGUUUUUCAUUGCAAAUUUUUGUUUGCUAUAUAUCCUUGUGUUUUCUUUCCAAAAUGAUUAAAUGUGUUUCCAUCAACGAACUUAACAUGUAGUUAUUUUGCUGAUAAUAGUGCAUCCUACUUGUAGCACCCGUUACUCUUAGUAAGCCUGCCAAUUAACUCAGCUUUGGUUAGAACAAAGAAGCUAGGGGAUGUGGGGAAUUAUUUUCCAACUUUCAGUCAACAGUGAAUGUGUGUAUAAAGCUCACCAAAAGAAAUGAAUGGAAGUUACCUAUCAGUAACCAUGAUACUUCAAUCAAACUCCAAUGUGAUGGGUUUCAAAGAUUCCAAUCCUCAAGGUGAGAUAUGGUGAAUAAACCUUCCCCCCAAAAGAUUCAUGCCAGAACUACAAAGCUCUGAGCAACCAAAGUUUCCGAUUGAAAGAUGAUUUUAUCUAUCCCAUACCCCUAUAAGCCAAGUGUGGGAAACUUCUUGGAAUGAACCAAGAAUGUUUAUAUAUGCGUGGAACUGGGAAUAUUCAUGUGUGGGAAUGUUAGAGAAACAUACGGUAAAGCUAGCACCUAGCAGUAUGUAGGUUGAGAACCAAAAUUACUUGGUGGGACUUGGCAACUGUAGUAAGAAUUUUAAAAUUAUCAAUCCAUUAUUGGGACUCUCAUCUUAUCAGUUGAUGAGGAAAAGAUUUCACUUGCCUAUCAAGAAUAGCUACUAUAGGAAGCAUAUCGUGAUAGUAAAAUUGUCAGAUAGUUAAGUAGAGGCAGUUGUUGUCACGUUCGUUCUAGGAGGGUGCAAAUUGAAGUUACUAAACGGUGAACAUGGGAAAGCCAAUGCAAUCAGACAUAACUAUUAAUGACCGAUCUAAUUCUCUAGUUAAUACUUAGUUUUAGUCCUGGAGGAUAAAACCAAACUGGUAUAAAGCAUGGAUUUAUAGAGUAUUAGAUAAGUUGCUAUAUGGAUUCAUGUACCAACAUUGUGAAGUAUUUGAGGUAUGUGCACAAGGGAUACUUUUGAAGGUCCUUAGCCUAGAUUACUAGUGGCCUUGGUGGAAGGCCUUGACAUGACACUAGAUGCCUAUUGUGAUAAAUGUCUAGGAGUCUAGGACAAAGAAGUAGAGGGAAAAGUGACUUGUUCAAAGAAUUGAUGCUGGGAAACUCUCGCACUCUUGGCAGUUGCCACCAAAUCUAAUGAAUUUGAUGUAUGGUAAAUAGUCGGUCUGCAAUAUCAUUAUUGUACUAGAACCAACAAAAUUUUCAUUACAAAGUCGCUUUUGAUUUGCACACGGUUAUUUGAAUAAAAAAAAGUGGGCAAUUUUCCUUUAGGGAACUCCAUCAUCUGAUUGUCAAUUAGGAAUGCUUAAAAAUGCCCAAUUGAUAUGAAUUGUGAUCGAUAUAACUGGUUGCCUUAUUUAGUUGUGUUAUUCUAUUAUGUUGUCAAUGUUUGUGACGUGCAAAAUGAAUUAGGGAAGGGAGAUUGUGAGCAAGUUCAUUGGUUGGGGUGCUAAUGGUAAUGUGUUAGGUUCCCACCUUAAAACUUCCUGCAUAUAUCAAUAUAACACACACAAGCAGCAAUCGACAAGAACAACACUGUUCUGCUGAGAAAUUUUUGCAGCAGUUCAAAUUUCUCAACACCACAAUUACAGGAAAGCAGAAAUGUUAAGUUUAAGCAACAAAGAUAACUCCCAGUUAUUUGUGGGAGUUAGUUUCUCUCCUCACAGGCCACAAUUCCCUCCAAAAUUCCAUGAUGGCCAUGAUUUCUUUUGCCUACGAAAACCCACAGAACGUGCUUUUCCAUACAAUGCACAAUCCUUCUGUAAGGUCUCUCCCUUACUAAGGUACUUUUAUUAGAAGAAAACGAAAGAAGCUCCAAGGCAAUACAUCACUCUCCAGCCUAUUAAUAGAAGACCAGUAAUCCUCCUCUUCUCACUCUCAAAAAUUCACUAAAAAUCAAGCUACCCUCUAACAUUCUCUCAGCUUCUUAGCUCUUUUAUAUUCUCCCUAGUCCUGCCCCAACAGAAAAAUAACAACCUGUGUUCCCCACGGCUCACGUAACUACCCUUAUGUUAGGUUUGCACGAGAGCUUACAUAAUGCUUUUGAAUGCAAAAUUUGAAACAACCAACAACAUCCCCAGGUCCCCACUAACAUCUUUCAAAAAUAAAAAGGUCCCAUUAAUCAAUAUCAUAGCUAUGUUGUGAUGUGAAACGUAGUUUUGUGCAAAGUACUUUUUAAAUUAGGAACAUCUGCUUAGAAUAGUGGUUAAAAACUUCAGACCUGAAAGAUAGGAUUUGAGGUUGGCAAGAUAAAAGAAAGCCUUGGUUGGAAGGAAAUUUUGGAAUGUCCUUAGUUUACAGAAAAUAAAAGAUGGACUACUGUAAUUAUAAGACAUGAAAAAUUUCAUGGGCUUCGUUCUAGAUUUAGUGUUUCGAAGCCUACCUCUCUUCAGAAUCGAUCCUAGCAAGAAUGCACUUCAUAGACAAGUGCAAGAGUUAGAAUAUAAAUGUUGUUAUUGGUCGUAAGGGUAUUACUGGUUCUGUACUGCAUGAUAUUUUAUGAAAAGCGAUGCUGAACUAACCAUAAUGGUACUAAAAGCUAAGUUGUAAUUGCAACUAAACUGACCAAAAUGGUUCUCCCAGGUGCUUAAGUACCUAACACCGUACUGGCAGUUCUGUCACUUUCUUGAUCUUGGUUGGUUGUUGGUUGUUGGCUGUGGUUGUGGUUGUGGUUUUGGACAUGGGCUUUGACCCAUCUAUUGGGCCUAGCUAUUACUUCAGGCAGUGCCAGACUUUUCAAUCCAAGAGGAUGGUGUCUGGUAUUUGUAUGAGGUAGCUGAGUAACAGACAUGAUUGCAAUAUAGGUGUUGCUUUCUAAUAACAAGGAUUAGGCAUCAAAGGAUGGCCCUACUCUAAGUUAUAGUAACAGACUUUGGGGUUAGGAGGAUUGUAUUGGAAGUUUAUUUGUGUUCCCCAGCAUUAUUUCCUCCAAUGAUCAUAAAGUGUCUAAGAAAGAAUCCGUUGCUUCUGUUUUGCCUUGGGUUUUCUUUACCAAAUAUCAGGAAGCCUGCUGAUGAAUCGAUAUGUCGUGUGGUAUAGAAGGCUGCUCAUAUACGAGAGCUCCUACAAUCAACUGUCAUAGGCUCUAGGUUAGGCAUUCAAGGAGGGGGGGAAAUUAUAUAACCGCAUAAGUAAUUUAUCAAUGGACAAGCUUUCUUCAAAAUAUUAGUUUUGUGAUCAAACAUCAAUCUGGAACUGUUAAAUUGAAAAUGAAAUCUUACUGCUAACUUUGAAAGGAUAGGUUUCUUAAUUUGAAUAUAAAUCUUUGAAAAAAAAAUUGAAUAUAAAUCUUAUUGCUAACUUUGGAAGGAUAGGGUUCAUUUUCAUUGUGACAUCAGUCUAUGUUAAGCUUCCUUGGCCAGUAUUGCUAAAAAAUUGUUUUCUCACAGCUGAGGUUGAACAAUAUCUUCUGAUCCAAAAUAAUGGGGAGACUUCUCUGAAAGUGAAUGUUACAGUUUCUGACACAAAAUACAAGGAGAUUCAAGUUCCUGAGCAUCAUGCCAAAAAGGUACUCGUUAAUCUUUGCGAGAAUUGAAGUUUUUUAGGUAAGUUACCAGUCAGAAAUUUGCUACCCCAAGCAAAACAAAGGUUUCUGAAACCGUCUCUUUGGUUUUAGAUUUAAAUUGUGAAAUCUAAAUCUACUAGUUUUCUGAUUCUAAAGGGUAUAGCUGGAGAUUCAUUUGUGCUUCAUUUCAUAUUCUAUUUCAGGUUAAUAUUUCAGACUUUCCAGGGAAUUCAAUGAUCAUAUUAGAUGCUGGAAAUGGGAAGUGUAUAGUUCACCUAGGAUCAUUAACAAAAAACGGCAGCAUUUUUAAGCAGAUCUCUUCCUAUGUAACCCAUUUAAACCUCGUGUCCGGAUCCUAUCUACUAUUGUCAAUUGUUUUUAUCGUUGGAGGUAUAUGGGCAUGCUGCAAAAUGAAAACCAAGGAACGCCAUGCCAAUGGAAUCCCAUAUCAGGAGCUGGAAUUAGCAGAGCAUGACACUUCUCCAACCAACGAUUUGGAAGCAGCCGAAGGUUGGGAUCAAGGCUGGGAUGACGACUGGGACGAGUCAAAGCCUUCAAAUAAAUCCAGCUCCGACAUGAAGGCAAAUGGUAUUAACUCUAGAACUUCUGAUAGAAAUGGAUGGGAAAACGAUUGGGACGAUUGAGACAAGAAAUAACUCAAAAGUUCUGCAUACUCCUCAAUCUUGAAACUCAGUAAACUUAGUGAACAUAGAAAAUUCUUAGGAUGAAAAUUCUGCUUCCCACACCAUAUCUCAUCAUAUGGUAAAAAGUUGUGAGCUCAUUUUUUUUUACUGUUGAAUUACAAGAGAACAAAAUGUAUGCUUAUCACGAUAGGUAAAUUUUUGGUUAAAUUACACCUAGGUUAAUAUUUUUUUACCUUGAUAAACAAUAGAUCUCAGGUUUCCUGUUGGUAAAGCUGGAAAUUGGAAAUUGGAAAGUGCAAUAAUGUUGCUUUUUUUUUCUUUAGUAAAGAUCAUUGCAAUGAUAAGAAUAUUUUGGUGUUGUAAUGUUAAGUGAUAGCGUGGUUACAUAGAUCAAGAGGGUAUCAUUUGGGCCCUCAAUAAAGUGUAAACCAAAACAGAGAAAAGGUUUUGAAGUGCGCAGUUUAUUUUUGUUCCCCACUUUCUCAUCAUUCACUCCAAGUUUUAUUCAAUUCCUCAUAUAUUCGUUUCAAUGCAGCUUUGAACUUAGAGAUGUAAACAUUUUUUGAACUAUGUAGAUAUUUAUAUUUAUACCCUUUAAUUGUGUUAUAAUUUCAAUGGUCCCACACAGUUACACAUUUCUUAAUCCUCAUCAUUUAUCUUUCUCAAUUAAUAUACAAUUUAUUCUCUCUAUAUAUUUAUUGUUCUGAUCAGUUAUGUUUUUCAACCUCUCAUAAUUAUUCUCUACGUUCUUUUUGUUUAGAUUCUAUUUGAUUUCUGGCUCUUUGUUUUUUUAAUGUUAAUGUUGUGGUGGGUGUUCAAUUUGGUCUAUAAAUUUCAAAUUUACACUUUCAACUUUUACUUUAUAUUAAAUAUUCACGUUCAGUAGUGUAACAUUAAUGUCUCUUAAUUCAUUUAAAACAAUCAUGAAAUGCAAUUUUAAUAGUGAUAAAAAAUAAUGAAAGUUACUUGAUUGUGAUUCUUUUAAAUUAACUAAUAGAUCGCAUUAUGGUACAGAAAGUCAGUGAAAAAUAAUAGUUAAAAGUAUAAAUUUGAAAAUCUAAAAGCUCAAAAUUCAAAUUCAAAUUUUAUUUGAUGAAUUUCUAACAUUUUUAAAAUUUGUAAACUAAACUGAAAUAAAACUCAAAAUUUAAUAAUUAAGCCUUAUAAAUCUAACCUAUUAAAUUAUGAAUAGAAAUUAACGUAAAAAUAAAAGGUAAUUUUUUCAUUUAAGAAAAACACUUUUAAUUAAAACUCUUUAAACAUCAAAUCAAACGUUCAACAUUUUUUACAUUUAAUAAUACAUUUUAUUUUUCUUAAGUUAUCUAAUACACAAAAAUAUUAAUAAACAUAAAUUGACACAUACACCUUUUUAAAAAAAAAAAAUUAAAAAAAAAACCCCUUUAUUUCGAAAAAGAAAUAAUAAAACCCAUGUGCUAAAGGGCAAGUUAAUUAAUGCAUGAAAAAUUAAUUAAGUUUUUCUUGAGCCAUAAAUACUAAUUAUUUAGUUUAAUGUCUUUGUUUACUUUUUUUUUUUCUUUGGACAGCUCAUUGGCCCUGCAGCCUUUGCACAUGGCCUUCAUUAAUCUUAUUCAUUCUUCACAUUAAAUUAACAAAUAAAUAUGUUAAAUCUUCCAUUCUAUUCUCUUCCUUCUAUGUUAUCAUAUUUUUCUAUUCUUAUUUUUUAUUCUACUUCUCUUACUUUUCUUUUUAAUGCAUCAAUUUGAUAACAAACAUUGACCAUUCAAUUCAAUACUCGAGAAAGUAUUUAUUUAUUUUCUACUUCAAUUAAUACUGUUAUGGGGAUACUACUUGUUACUUGUUUAUUUCAAAGUUCAAAACUUCCCUAAUAAAUAUUUUGUUUAUCUAUCUUUCUAAAACCAAACGCUCCCAUUGUUAUGCUCACUUUAAUAAUAAUUAAAAAAAAUCAUAAAUAUUUCAUUCAUGUUUGAAAAUAAUUUUAAAAGAGUUUAAAUCAGUUUGAUCAUAUCUAGAAUCACUCCAAAACUUAAUACUAAUAUAUUACACGUUUAAGUACAAUUUUCAUAUCUUCAAAUUUUGUUUUUAAUGAUUAAAAACCAUAUUUAAGAGUAAGAAAAUGAAAGAAAAUAAUUUUUAUUAUUUUAGAUUCAUUCUCAAACACAUCUAAACUAGAGAAAAAAAUAUUGCUUGUUAAAAUACUUUUUCGGAUAAACCCAAUUCAUUUAUUAAAAAAAAAAAAAAUAAAUAAAAUGAAUUGAAGUUGAGUAUAUUUAGUAAAAGCAGGCAAUUAGAAUCUGAUUGAAGAUUAGUGAUUUGUUUUAAUGAGAUGAGUUUUAGUUUGAAAUUGGGACAUCAAAAACAAAUUAUAUAUAAAAGAAAACAUUGGUAGCAUUAUUGAACCAAAACUUAGAGAUUAUGAGGCAGACACAAUGACAUAAUGGAAAUACUUUUUAAAAAUAUAUAUAUAAAAAAGAAGAAGAUGAAUAGUGGGACAGAGAUAUUGUUUGUCAUGUGUGGUUUUUAGUAUUGCAAACUUUUUCACUGGCAAUGGGUUUUUCUUUUCUUCAAAAAUAAUAAUCAAAAUUGUGGUUUUUGUGCACUUUGGGUUAUUCUAUUCAGUACUUUCCACUUUUGGUCCCAAGUUGGUGCUGAGAAUUAUGACAUUUCUUACACUUUCAUCACACUUUUUGACCUCUUAACUCUUCUUUCUUUUUCUUACUUUCUCUUCUUCUCUUAUUCUUCUCUCUCUCACAUGAUCAAAAUUCACUUUGUUCAUAUCAUCACUUACAUCAAAUUUAAAUUUUGAAUUACAUUUAAACUUAGACUUUACUACUAAUCCGCUAUUAACAAAAUGUAGUUGGUAUGGCUAUGAAGUAGUACGAUCCUAAUCUCGAUUUCUAUGUAUAACAUGUCUAACUUUAUAACAUUUGAGUGUUAAAAGAAAGUGGUAAGAAAUCAAUUAAAUCUAUAAAAAUUAUUAUGUGCAAAAAAAAAAGGGUUGUAUCUUACUUAUCUACUGACUUCACUUGUAAGGAAGAUCUUCUCUUAUGUUUCUUAUGCAGUUUUCUUAUACUUGUCCCCUUAUACUGUGCAUUUAAUUAAUAAUGGUGUCCCACUAAUAUUUUAUUAUUUUGUAAUUUAAUAUGUAUGGUUUUUAUUACUUUUUUUGGGUGCAAAACAGCAUGUUCUAAAAGUUCUUAUAUCACAGUUUGUUUGUUCUGAUUGGCAGUGGAUCUCAUUUCUUUGCAUUCUUCUGUUAAAUUCCUUUCAUGAAAGGUUAGGAAUGUUGGAGAAAGAUGUGAUGUUCACCUCAAAAAGUGCCAAAACUUCCAAACAUAACCAAAUAUAAAUUAGUAGUUUGUGGUUUAAAAAGAAACAUACUAACAAAAUGUAGGUAUGCCUGAGUUUUAUACCAAUUUAUCUACUAACUUUGAUCUUGAAAUAAAUAGACAAAUAUGAAAAGAUAAGUGAGAGGUUAAAGAUUUUCGAUGGGGGGAUCCAAAGUGGAACCCGGUGAAGAGGAAUCCGGAAAACUCAAACAUACACAAGAAGAAAACUACUAAAUACAACAGGCAUUAAUAGAGCUACAACAAAAGGAAAAAAGUAACAGAAAACUCUCAACAUUUUUUGAUGUUUUCAUCUACCUUAAAACGAUUGAUCGAACAAACCGGAUUCUUCUUCGCCGAGUGACCUGUGUUGAAUCCCUUUUGUAGAGAUUUGUAAUAAGAAACCAAACUGGAUUCAUCCCAAUUCUUCUUGGCCUUCUGAUGGACAUCUGAUAAGCUCUAAUAUAUUAACAACCUCUGCCAUAUCGGGUCGGUUCGAUGGCACCUGAGAUGUGCAUAUCAAGCCUAGUUUCACUACUGGUAUGGCCUCUUCUAAUGGAAAAUUCCUCUGGAGCCUCCCAUCAAUGCAUUCCUCCACCCGACCUUCUUCCAGCUCCCGCCGAACCAUGUCGCAAAGUACCACCACGUCGUCUUCCAUGUAUUCCACAGGUCUCUUCCCUGUUACCACUUCAAGAACCAGAACUCCAAAUCCAUACACAUCACAUUUCUCUGUUAUCUUAACCGUUUUGCAGGCAAACUCAGGUGCCAUGUAUCCUAGUGCGCUUUGUAUCUUGCUGCUCAGCACGUACCGAUCAAGCAUCGGUAACAAUCUUGCUAAGCCAAAAUCUCCAACUUUAGGUUCCCCCGAACUAUCAAUCAGUACAUUGCUUGAUUUUAUGUUGUAGUGGAUGAUGUUCAUUUGGUGCAAAUGUGCCAAGCUUUUCGCAGUUCCGAGGAUUAUGUUGAACCUUUCAUUCCAUGAGAGGAUGUUUCCACCCAACCCUUCAUGAAGCUGUUUAUACAAACUCCCUCCAGACACAAAUUCAUAUAUGAGAAGCUGCAGAGAUGGAGUCCAGUAAUAACCUUCUAAAGCCACAAGAUUUUGGUGCCUAACUUUCCCCAACUUCUUAACCUCCCUUUCAAACUCUUCUUGAGAUUUGACUAGACUUGAAACAGUGAGCUUUUUUAUUGCAACGGGAUGUCCAUCACGAAGAACAGUUUGGUAAACAGCUCCAAAUCCGCCACGGCCAAGCUCACAAUCCUUGUUAAGGAGAGCAUGUGCACCGGUACUGAAAUCAGGCUCUCCUGAAAACAUGACAAGCUUGCCAGAAUUAGCAUCCGUAGUUGGGGAGUGGCUGAAGUCAUCCCCUCCUGAAAACGUGAUGGCUGCUUCAGGACGAUUCGCAGAUGACCGAACAUGGAGGUUAAUGACAGUGAUCGCAACUACACCGACGAGGAUAACAGCAGCUGCACCAAUGGCAAUGAGUGCAGAGAUGCUGAGGAUGAUUCUUUUGUGACCAAGAGUUGUAGGUAAUGAAGUAGAACCCGCGUCAGAAGAUGAGUUGGGGUUGAGAACAAUGGGCUUUGGAAGGACACCUGGGCAAGACCUCUUGACAAUAGAACCACAAAGAGAAGGAUUUCCAGCUACAGAGGAGGGGGAGAUUGUAUUGAAAAACCCACCUGCAGGUAGUUCACCUUGCAGAUUGUUGUGAGAAAUGUUAAACAAAAGAAGGUUAGGAAGAUUAGCCAACUGUUUUGGCAAUGCACCACUGAGAUUGUUUGUUGACAAGUCCACAAUUUGAAGAUUGAUCAGUUGAGACAAUUCUGCUGGUAUGGAGCCAGUUAAUCUGUUUUCCGAUACGUCCCUGCAAAAUUGAAGCAGUAUCAAAGAGCCGCAUCGAUAAUGUAAACUCAGGAGAGACCUCAAACACUCUCACAAUGAAAUAGAAUCGCAAAAGCAUUGAAAUUUAUUUGCUGUCAUUAUAAGAAGCACAGUUCAACCCAGCAAAAAUGAAAGAAUCCUACAAGAAAAUGAAACAUCAAAGCAAAAGACCACUUACAAAGUUACAAGUGAAGAACAGUUCCCCACUGAAUUUGGAACCCCACCCUCCAGCAAGUUCUUCCCCAGUCUCAAUUCUUUCAAAGAUACAUCUCUGCCAAGUGUUUCGGGAAUGCUUCCAUUCAACUGGUUCUCACUCAAGUCAAGAAAAACCAAGGCCUUCAGGCCUCCAAUACUCUCCGGAAUAGCACCAACAAAUGAGUUCUUACACAGAUUCAACACCUGCAAGCUACUUAAUAUCCCAAUAUCAGGUGAAAUUUCACCAGAAAAUGCAUUGUGAGACAAAUCUAAAACUUGAAGAUUAACAAGAGCCUUUCCCACAGUUGUAGAAAGAGAGCUUCUUUUGAUAUCAGAAGGCAAUACAUUUUGCGAACCCAGCUUCAGAAUCCAGGCCGGAAGAACACCGGUGAGAGAACCGUGACCGAGAUCCAUAGCUGAAAGGUUUUGAGAUGGAACUAUGGACUCUGCCAAGCUACCAGUUAAACCAUUUCCGGAAACAUUCAAAACCUUCAGUUUUUGAAGAUUCCCAAAUGAACUUGGAAUAGGACCAGAAAACCUAUUCCCUGAAAGGUCCAAGAUUUCAAGGCCUUCCAUUCCACCAAUCCAUUCAGGAACCUCCCCUUGAAAUAAGUUCCUUCUUAAAUUAAGAGUACUGCAUAAACUAAGCUUCUUCAUUGUCGCCGGAACGUUGCCGGAGAAAGAAUUUUCACUGAGAUCAACAGACCUCAAGAGCAUACAACUCCCAAUGCCAUCUGGGAUCUGUCCAGAAAACCGAUUCUUCCCCAAAUUAACAGCUCGCAAAUUAUUCAUACCCUUCACCUCCGGUGGAAUUUCACCUUCCAAAAUAUUAUCAGACAAAUCCAAAGAUCGAAGCCCAGUUAAGGACCAAAUCCCAGACGGCAAUGAACCUGAAAACUGAUUAGAAGAUAAAUUUACAGCAGCAAGACUGGAACAAGAGCUCAAACUUUCCGGGAUUUUCCCUGAAAUUUUGUUGUUAGCCAAAGAGAUUACUCUCAACGACCCACAUUGCCGGAAGAAAUCAUCCGGAAUCAUCCCAUGAAACCCAUUGCCGCUUAAAUCAACCACUCGAAGAUUUUCAAAGCGAGCAUUAUUGGGACUUAAAUUUCCAGUAAGAUUGUUGUUCGCAAGAGAGAGUUUACGAAGAAACUGCAAUUGAAGAAGACCACGACCAAGCCUGCCAUUGAGUGAGAAGCCAUCAAGAUUAAGCUCAACAACUCUAUUGGAUCUGGGGUUGCAUUUUAAACCAACCCAAUUACAUGGGUUAUCGUCAUCUUCAUUCCACGAGGCGAGUUUCCCUUCAGGGUCUUCAAUGUCGGCCUUGAACACAAUCAGCCCCAAAACGUCUUCGUUCAAAGGUGGGUUCAGAGAUCUCACCAACACUGGAACCACAACAAACAAGACGAACAACCCCAGUAGCCUUUUCAUCUUCAAGAAAACACCAGAAUUAUACGCUACUAAACACAACAAGUUCAAAUAAACCCCAAAGCCAUGCCAAAACUUUAAACCUUACCCAGUACCAACCAACACCCAAAAAUUAAUCUCCCCAACUAUAAUACCACAAAAAUUUUCAUACCCGGAAAGAAAAAUGUUAAAAAGAAACGACAAAUUUACUUCGAACGGCUAGAUUUGGGAUUUUCGUCGUCCGCAAGAAAAAUCAGGAAAGGAAGGAACGACAAGAGAUGGAAAAACCCAGUGAAGAAAUAUAAGAGAAAAGAAAACCCUUUUAAGAACACAGAGAGCUUCAAAAUCUUUCACUCAUAGAAGCUAAGGGAUUGAAGCAAAGUAACCCCACAGAAAAAGAACAACAACGAAACAACCUCAAGACACAGAAAUUUCUUCAGCUCAAAGCAGAGUAUAUAACUUCUAACAUCUCCUACACUAACACUCCCUUUCUAUCUCUCCUUUUCUCUCUCUCUCUCUCUCUCUCUCUCUCUCUCUCUCUAGUUCGCUCUGUAAUCCAUUUGUGAAAGAGAAAAUAAAUGGAAGUUUUAUUCUUCUUUUAUCAACGGGAAAAAGCGGAGUGGGGCGCAGAGAGGAAGACGAGGUCUCAAUCAAUACAGAUUGUGGAAACGUGGCACUGCCAGAGUGGUAACGCCUCCGAUGUGGCAAACACGUAGUCCUUUUCAGCCAAAAUGGCAUUUUUUUUUUACAUUGUGGAACACGUGGCACAUCUUCAUUAGCUGAACUUGGAAUGCCCGAAUUAUCGGCUUAACUACACAAACGCCCUUCUUUGUUCCACAUAAUUACCGCUUUUGCCACAAAAAAUUCCUAACGAUAAACUAACAAUAUUUAAUUCCUAAAUUGUGUUUGUGACAAUUAGAUUAGCAUUUUAAUUAAUCAACGCAUUGACAUUGAUUGGAAGGAUUAAAUUUAAAUACUUUUUAAAGGAAAUCUAUGUACUAUUAUGAUUUGGUGGAUAUGAUAUCAUUUUCAUGUUAGAGAUAAUAAUUAGUUGGCAAUUAAAGAAAGAGUGGCAAUUUAAGUAAAAUUAACGAAUUUAGAGGGUAAAGGUGGAAGGGGAAAAAGGAGUUGGGUGUGGGUGUGUGUGUAGUUAGUUGUAUGAAAAUAAAGCAAAGGAAAAGAAAGAAAAGCGGCCUUAAAAGCAGGUGGGUGGGGAAACAGUGGGCGGUGGGAAGGGUAAAAUUGGUAUUUUGAAAAUAAGUACAAUAAAAGCAAAGUGGAAGGAGAAAGGAGAGUGGUGGUGAAGAAUGAAGUUGAAGAUGUGAUUUUUUUUAAGAAAGUCCUUCAGUUUAUAUAUGUACAAUCAAUUUGUCUGCCUUUAGGGUUUUGUAGUUUUGUGAAAUGUUGAGACUAUGGAUCUUAAUAGCUAGACUUUAGAAGUUGGUAGGAUAUUUGAUGUUUAAAUCAUUGGUAAAACCCGAAGAUAUAAGUAAAAUUGGAUGUUAAAUGUUUUUUGAAGCAUGGGUUAGUGAAGGGUAUUCAUUGGUUAAUUCUUGUGAACAAUGUUGAAGUUUGGUCUAAGUAAGAUUCAAAAGUCUAAGUAAUCAAGACGAGCCACAAGGAAAUGCGCAUCCUAAUAGGAAAAGUCAAAACAUUGAAUUUAGGGUCAACGAGUCGACUUGGUAACUAUAUAUACAUAUAAAAAACAAUAAUCUAGUUGCUCUCGAUCUAGUACCUUGCACCCUCAAACGUCGUAAAUCAACAUAACAUAAUCAAAGUCGCACAUAAUCAUAAGUGAUUGUCAAAGAAAUGACAUUACAAGUAAUCGUAUUUGACGACCUUAAAAGGAAAAGUAGGUAAUCUCCAAAGAAGGGACAUGACUUUAUUGUACUUCAUUUAAUUCUCGGUGUGGUAGGCUUGACACCAUAUUGGUGCAAUAAUUUUUCAUGCAAAUCAAAUUUAAAAAACUGAUACGAAAAAAAGUGAGUUGUAGGUUAAGUCCACAAGAGGCCAGCAAUGACAACAACAUUGAACUCGUGUGAGAUUUGAGUGACAACAAACAAUGAUGUCUAAAGAGGUUGAACAAGGCCAUCGAGAUCUUCUUGGUUUGAGAGACAUAUGAUCAAAUGCACCUCGUUACUGAAAGGUUUGCCUCUACUUCUCUAGCUCCAUGCUAAGCGAAAGCCUUUUCUACUUCAAGAAUCUGUUAGGAUUGUGGGUUAUAUUUUGGGACAUAAGUGAUUUUAUUAUUAUAAAUAUUCUAAUGUAGCAUUAUUUUUUGUCUCGAUUUUUAUUUCUAGAUUUCAUUCCUACCGUAACUAAACACCGAACAUAUAAAUUCAUAUUUAUGCAUACAUACUUACAUUUAUUUAUCACCAAUUUAAUUAGCAAAUUCAUUGUUGUGAAAGAAAAUGCUAAAAAAUUAAAAACUAUCAUUUAAAUUUUAAACCUUAAAUUAGAAAAUUUCCAAACCAUGAAAACAACCCUAACUAACUAAACUAUAUGUGGGUGUGGGAGGGGAAGAAGCAAAUAAAAUUAGAAGUUAGUUGGCAAAAUUAAUUUAAAAAUAAAAGAGAAAGUGAGAGAAAGAGGAAAAGAAUGAAGAAUGAAAAAUGAAAAUAGUAAAAGGUGGGUGAGUGAGUGAAGCAAAAGACUCCCUUUGAGCAGCUUUUGACAUAAAUGCUUUCCCUUAAAGAGGGAGGCUAAGGGAGAGGUUACCCAUUGGCAGAGGGGACCCCCACCCCUAAACCCUACUCUCUUUCUUCCACAAUUCUCUCCUCUCCUCUUAUUCAAUGCAAUCAAAACACUAAACCCCCUUACCUCCUCCACAUCCUAAAUGAAAAUAUAUUUUCCCUCACCCUUUUCAUUUCAUCCUAUUGUUUUCUAUGACUUUCUUUAAUUUCUACCUACUCUAAAAUUCAAUUCCACAUCCCUUCAUUAUGGAAUGCAUUCAUCACUUCAAUUCCUUUUUUUUUAUUAUUGUUCUCUCCCUCUCUCACAAUUUUGUAUAGAAUACAUUUACUAUUUAUAAGUAUUUUUUAUUCAAUUAAAAAAUGUGUUCGGCCCGAAAGAACUUGUAAACACCCCUUCUUGCAUUGCGCAAUAUGUUUGUGGAUUCCACCAUUAGUAAGCAUCAAUCUUAUAUUUUAUCAACUCCUUAUCCUAUAAACCUUUUGAUCAAAAAGGAUUAUGAAACUUUAUGUUAUGUCUACUAUACAUGUGUCUUUACAAUUGUUGUAACAUCAUGCAUAAUCAAUGGUGAAUCUUGAAAUUUUGUUGACAGUGAUUUCAUAAGCUAGUAAAAAUAAUGUGAAUUUUUUCUUUUUGUAAGGAAUGGGAAUUAAUCCGACAUCUAGCAGGUCCAAGAUGACAAUGUCAUCAUUAUAUUGAGAAUGUGAAUUGUAUUUUAAUGAUAAUUCUUUAGAGUUUGAUGACCAAAUCGAAGUUGAUUAGUCGGAAAAUGAGAGGGAUCAGUUGGUAUCGGUUUGAGAAAGUUUCAAAUCAAAAAAUUAAAAAAAAAUAGUGUUAAAUCGAACGACGGAUCAACAUUUAUUCAUUGAUGGUCGAAGUCGAUUUGAACAUUUACUAAACCAACCAGUCAGCUCGGUGGUAGUUUGAUCGAAAAAUCAACUCUAACCGACUAUUGAUCACUCCCAUUAAAAAAACAUAAAAUUGACUAAGCAAAACUAUCAUCUUCUACAUUUGGAAGUGAAACAUAGAAAGAGACUCAAUUUCUUAUAUAUAUAUAUAUAAUACACUUGUUUGUUUGAUUUGUUUUGUUUUGUAUCGAGGGGUGUAUUUAUGUUUCUUGACUUUUAUCCCAAAAGUUGUGUACGUAUUAUAUCCAAAAGGAACCAACCAUCUUUUCUUUUCUUUUUUGUUUUUUCAGCUUAAACAAAAUACCCUAUCUUAGUACCUACUACUUACUACUACUACACACCACACCUCUACACAUUCAGUUUUGGAGGAGCCCUCUUCAUUCAUUUUUCCCUUCCCUUUCUUUUUUUCUAAACCAAUUCUUUGGGUUUAUUAUAAUCUGAAUGUAUCUAAUUCUCUCAUUUUAUUUCUUUCAUUUAAUACAAUCUAACACCUUUUUAACUUAUAUUUCAUUUUUAAUUUUCAUCCUUCAACAAUCAUAAAUCAUAAAUAUAAUGUUAUCUAAUUUAUGAACACAUGCUAACAAAUAUAUUCGAAAAUAUCAAUUACUUUUUUAAAAAAUUAUGUUCCUAUUUUUUUUAAUGCUAGGACAAAUGAUAAAUUCUCUCACAGAUUAAAAAAAAAAGGUGUUUAGAAAAUAUUUAAUUAUUAUAUUAUAUUUUUCAUCCUUUUUAGUUUUUAUUAAGAUUCCGUUUAGGUUCAAAUAAACCUUUUAUCCCCAUCUCCAUUUUUCAAAAACUUUCAAGUCUAAUCUUUCAAAUUAUUAGAACACGAAAAACUAUCCAUAUAAUUAUUGGAUUGAAUUCCAUGUUCAAAAUCAUCACCAUCUCCAUUUAAAUUUAUAAUUAUUUAUCAAAUGAUGAAAUGAAAAUACUUUUCAUAUUAAUAUAGAAUGAAAAUAUUGAUGUAUAUAUUUAUGACAUCAAUAAUCCUUGGAGUACAAUAUUAAUAUUUAAUCUAAAAGGCUAAGCUAAUGAUUCAUGGAGGUUGGGAUCUCAUCAUUUUUAUCCUUCUUUGGCUUCUUUUUCUCAUCUCCAUUCUCCACGCUGAGGUUGGUAACCGACAUGUCGUAACCAGCUAUACCGUAUCGCUCCAAUGAGGCUGUCAGAGGGGCCAACGACAUGUAGUACAUGCUUUAAGAGCAAAAAAUAAGAAGAAAGAAAAAGGUGACAUUUCAUUUUUGUCCAUGUUUUUUGCUUUUUCCUUUUCCUUUUCAAUUUUUUUUAAAUAAUGAAAUCAAUUAAUUUAAAUAAAUUCUUGGACAAAAUUGCAAAAAAAAAGAAAAAGUUACUAAAUGUAUGUCAUACUAACUUUCAAUUUUAAAAAUUAAAUUGUUGAAAAUAUGACAAAAAAAAAUUGAGGAUCUCAAAUUUAUACGAGGAUAGAAAUUAAACUCUAAAAUAUUUAUGGUUAAAAUUAAUUAAGUCCUCAACUUAAAUCUAUAUCGUAAUUUUAGAGUGUAGUAUAUGAAAUAUGGAAAAUAACAAAUGAAAAAACGUUGAAAUGAUUGUUUUUUGAAAUAUUUAUUCAAUAUUAAAGAUAAAUAAAUUUUGACACAAAUAAAAACUUUAAUUUCUUUUUGUAAAAAAAUUAUUUGAACAGUUAUGUAAGGAAAUAAAAGCUGUAAGAGUUAAAAUUCUAUAAACUUUCAAGUUUUGCCACUUAAUUCCAAUAAUUAUUGUACAUGUUUGAGAAAAAAAAUGUAUUUUUUCUUAAUUGUAAAUGUAUGCUUUAAUAAGUUGGUUGAAACACAAAAUAAGAAAUAAGUUUGUUGGAUAAAGAUAGGAUAGAUAAUUUUCGUCUUAAAUAUAAUAUUCACUAUUAUAAUCUAUCCUAAGAUAGAUUAUUGGAACUCUACCAACGUAUUAUAAUAAAUAAUUGAACGUUUGAAAUAUUAAAAGUGGUCUUUAUUGAUUAAAUUUUGUUAUUUUAAGCGUGAUUUUAUGGAAAUUUGUGUGGUCCAAUCUGAAUUCCCAUAUUUGGUGCAUUGUAAAUAAUUGGUAUAUAAGCAUCAAAGUGGUUUAGGACAUCAUUAAAUUCCCAACAGUAACAACCUAUAUGGUCAUUUUGGAUUUAAUUUAUUGCUUAUGUCCUUGUGUACCCCUCCUUCCUACUAACAACUAUUACUUUUACAUUUAUAAUUAAUCUAUUUUUUCACUCCCGUCAUUAUUAAUAAUUGAAUGCAAAAAUAUGGUUUACUAUAUUAGAUUAUUGGAUGAGUUUAUUGAAAUUUUUUUAUUUUUUAUGAUUAAUAAAUUUUAAAGUUUAAAAAAAAUUUAUAAGUGAUGUGCCUCACUUUAUUUUAUUAUUUACACAUUUUUAAAAAAAUUACUUACCAUUUAAAAUAUUUAUCAAAUAUAAUAAAAUUUGAGAUUAUAUUAAUGUUUAUGUCCGAUAGAAUAUCUAUCCACCUCUAUCAUUGGUAAAAUCUAAAAAUUUUGCUAUAUUUUGUAAAAAUAGUAGUUUGUUAUGUUUACAAUAAUUUUCCUUUAAAUAACUUACAAAUUUAUAUUUCAAUAAACAAAUCAUUUGUCACUGGUAUAAAUAUGAUUUAAUUAGCUUGGAUAUAUGCUAUUUUGCUUAAAAUGUCAAAAUUCAGAAUAUCAUUACUCGAAAAAGGAGAAAAAAAUAUUGUUGGAGUGAAAAGGUAUGCUUUCAAUAAUUUUGGUUUUCUUCUUCUUCUAUUUUUCAAGUUUUCAAUUUAAUGUGCUCCUAGGAUAAGAAGAAGUGAUUAAUAUAAAAAACAUAACAACUUUUUUUGUUUGGUAAAAUUGCUUAUACGACAUUAAAACUAUUGAAUUAUAAUCUAAUCCAACCACAUUAUAACGUUCUAAAUCAUAAAAAAGAAAUUUGUAGUUAAAGUAAAGUUAUAUUAUUUUCAAAAUUAAAACUAUAAAUUAGAAUCUGUUCCCUGUGUAGGAGAAGAAGAAAAAAUAUAAAAUAUGUGGGUGGCAUUUAAAUUUAAAAAUCAAACAAGAUGUAUAAAAAGAAAGAAAAAAAAGGGAGGGAAAGAAAUUGUGGUAGUUUAAAAAGAAAAAGAAAAAGAAAAUUGGAAGGGCGAUGGCCAAAGAGAAACGCCGGAAAACGUAGGGGCAGGGCGCUGGAAAGAAAAGUCAAAGCUAAUACAUAACAAUAAUAAUAAUAAUAGAAAAGGCGUGGGGAGGAGAGGGUUUUAGGGAAUUAGAAAUAUUUUUAAGUGGUGGGGCCCAAGGGGACUUGAACGCCGUGUUACGCCGUUAAGGGCGUUUCCUCGAAAAUGGGAUAUGCUAAUACGAAUACCAAUGAGUGUUUUUAAUAACAGAAAGAGAAUGUGGAGAAUGUGGAGAAUGUGAUGUGUGACUUUGUGAGAGAGACGCGUCGGGUCGGGUUUAGGAUAAUUCAUAAAUAUAUGGUUAAACCCAUAGUUAAGGAUUAAUAUGUAUAAUGUUAUGUAUUAAUGGGAAAUUGAGAUAGGAAGAUAUGGUUUUUGUAUUGGGUCGACGCACCAUAACUCCGGACAGCAACACGACAACCAAAUUCACGCUUUUCCCUUCUUUCUUUUUUCUUACUUUUCUUCAACUUUUCUUACCAAUACCCAUACAUACGCUGUGUUCCAAAAGCGUGACACCAAUAAUAAUAACACACUUCUAUCCACCUAUCACAUAAUAUAUAUUACAUUUUCUUACUAACACAUCUUAUCGCAUACUUUUUUCUUUCUCCAACUUUUAUGCUAACACACUACUCAAUUACCUACAAAAUAAUAAGAUAUACACAUCCAUAUGGUGCUUAUCACACUAAACAUCAAAAUAUAAGAGAACGUUUGAGUAUUAUAAUUCACUUACUUCCUUUCGAGUUCAAUACAAAACUUAUUUAUAUAAAAAAAAUAUUAAUCUAAGGCAUAUUUUAUCUAAUUUUCUUAGUCAAAUUAUCCUUCGACUUGACUUUGAGGUUGGUUGAGCUUUUUUUAGCUCGAAGCUCAAUUAAUCCUUUUUCUAAAGUCUACUUUUAGUAUUUUUCUCUCCUUUUUUGUUAUACUGCUUUUUACUAUUGAUUUUAAAAUCUACCCAUAACAUACAUCCUCAUCUUAUACACACGUACACAUAACACCUUCACUUUCAAGUUUCGAGGUAACUUAAGUAAUUAACAUGAUAUAUUUCAUAUUUAAUUAGUGUGUUGUUAAUAAUUGUAUCUUCUCUAAGCAUAAAACAUCGAUAUUAGAAGGUACGUAAUGUUUUAUCAAGUUUUUAAAGUAUGAAAAUGAGGUGGAAAUUUUGAAUCAGACACUAUUGUUAGCUGAUAUAAUUUUUUGUUUACAUAAAAUAGGUUUCAUACAACUGUAUGGAGAUGGUUGCCUAAAUAAGAUUUUUUUUUUUUUUUGUAUCGAUUAAUAUAAAAAAAUCUAAAAUAUGAAGAAACUAUGUACUGUCUUCUCAUGGGUUGUGAUUAAAGGCUCUCAAACAUCAAACCAUGAUAUUGUUGCAAGAGUAUUGCAAAGAUAUUAACAUAAUUAACUAACACAAUUUUUGUUAUCGUUUUUUUUUUCUUUUGUUAUUAUUUCUAAUUAUUAUGCAUUUAACUGUUCUAAAAUGCCUAAAAAAAGUCAGAGAAUUUGCGUAUCGAGCGUAUAGAUUGUAGCCCAAAGAAAAAUAUGGGUCCAGAUUCGUAUCUUCAAACAAUUGAGCCUCACCACGAUAAAUUGGGCCGAUAGCAUGAACUGGGGUUUGGGUUGCAAUCCGCCAUAAAACCCAAUUGUUGUAUUGAAAAAGAAAAAAAAAAGGAUAAACCGUCUAAAUAGCAAAAUAGUAAACAACAAGUUGAAAAAUAGCCAAUCUUAUGAACACUAAGAUUUAUAGCCAAACUACCAGCUACAUGCUAUUUUUUUUACUAUUUUAUAUCCGAUUAUAGCCCUUUAUAUAAGAUCAUUUUUUUUCUUAUUGACACAGUGCAUUUGAUUAGGUAAAAAAAAACGAGGCAGAAUAUCAAAGAUUCAAGAGUACAGUCUAUUUGUAAACAACAUUCUGCUUCGUUACAUCUUAACUAAAUAUCAUAUUUUAUUAUUGGAGAAUAUUGCACUAACAUCAUUGUAAUCUCUAGGAUUUUUAGAAUUUGAAUAAAUUAAUUAACAAAUUAUUUCUAUAAUUCAUAAAUAUUUUAACAAUGAUUUGAAUUCAAAUUUUAUACAACCCCUCAAGUAAUAGCAAAGAUAAAUUGAAUAGUUUCGAAUUCUUUAUAUUUCAUACUAUUUAUCAAAACCUUAUUAAAUUAAUACAUAACACUAAUGGAACGGUAGACAUGCAUAACGUAAUAAGGACCAAACUUUACUCUAAUUGUAACUAAACACUUUAGUAAUUAACAUACAUUACAAUCUCAAUUGAUACAAAUAUAGUAUUAAAAGAAAAACUCACAUUUAAUUCUUUUGUUUAUGUGUAAUCUCCUCACAAACUCUUUGUAAUCUUCUCACGAAAUUGAAGUCGGAACUACCACUAGUGUUGACUCGCUAUUCUCCGUACUUAGAACCGGGUUGUGAAAUUUGUUCGAUGAAGGAAUUAGAGAGAGGUGAAAUUUUGAGGAUGAACUUAGCUUGGAGAUUUUUGUUGAGAGUAAAAGGUUUAUUUUUGUAAUUCCUAAUUACAAAAUUAAUUAUCUAAAAAAAAAAACCAAUAGUCCUCUUCCCCCAUUUGCAACAAUCCAUUGUUCAAGCAAACUAGCAUGCAUGUAAUGGGAUUCUUUUAUCUUAGCACUUGACAUUUCAUUAACUAUUAGUGGGCUAGGUGUCUUACAUGCAAUAAGCCACUUGCAUAUCACAUGCAAGUGAUAAACUUGCCAAAUCUCAACAAAUAUUAUUAAUUUAAAUUAGUUUAAGAUCAAUAUGGUCAUUUGAUAUUUAAAUCAAAUUCAAAGUUUGACUUUUUGGAGUAUAAAGUCAACAUUUUGAUUUUUUACCAUUUUGUCCGUCUUGAUUAGUUUUGACCUCCUGAACAAGAAUCUGCAUUCGUUUUCUCAAAAUUCAAAUAACAUUUUAAUAUAAAGUCGGUAAAAAGUUUGACUUUUCAAAGUCAAAAGUCAACAUUUUGACGUUUCACAUCUUUGAUCACUUUCAUCAAUUACAAGCUUUUGAAUAUGAAUAUGUAUUCAUAUUUUUAAUAUUUAAAUCAUAUUCAAACACGAAGCUCUCUUUUAAGCUUAUAAUUGACAGUUAUAUCAAAUAUAUUCGUCAGUUUCUUUCUCUUUAUCUAAUUCAAACAAUUCGAAUUAUUCUAUCAUAAUGUUCUAAGUUGAUUUCUUGUGAGCUAGCAAGGGAACCUAACGGACCUAUAGAUCAUAGACUCAAACGAUUUGAGAUUAGCUGGUUAAACUCUUUAGAUCGAGUUAAUCAACACUUUAGACCGAGUUAAUCAAUCUUCGUUAACUAAGACGAGUCAUUCCACAAAAGUUCCGUAGUUGCACUGCCCUCACUAUAGAUAUAUUUGUCCAUGUGAUAUAACCAUGAUAAGUAAGUUAAUCUUUCACAUGUUGUUUAUAACCUCGACUAGGUCAAAGUAUCGUUUUACCCCAAGACUAUAUCUUACUCCUUAAGUCACACUGAUCCACUAUUGAACAAUUGGUUUUAGGUCUAACCUAAAACUAAAUCCCUCUUGAGCCAAUAAAAGGGUGGGACCCCUUAUUCAAGAAUUGGAUUUAGUCCUUAAGGGAACAACAUAUCUACUAUCCCUAAAACAUGUAGGAGUGAAUUUCGUCUUGCACCCUAUGGCCCUAGUUAUCCAUUUGACUUUACCCCCCAAAAUGGUAGGCUUAUUGGGUUAACACCAUUGAGUUGCCCUCACCUAUGCAGAUCUAAGGUAAUCGACCAUAUGGAUAAAUCAUUACUGUGGCAUGAUUUGUUUGUACAACAUCAUCAAGAUCUAGCUUAAUCUUUUUGUCUAGAGUCAAUUUCAAAACCAACUCUUUCAAUACAAAAUAUUUCUCUACGUGAUGACUACGACCCAAUGAUAUUUGUAGUAAUUGGACCUAUUUGCUUAGUGGGCUUGUGGGCCUUUAUGCUCGUUGGACUUGGAUUUGGAUCCAUUAUCCUUGUUGAUCCAAUUUUUAUAUUUAGGGCUUGAAUUGGGUUGGAUAUGAGAAAAUUUAAUUACCCAAACCCAAUCAAAUUAUAAUUAUCACAAUUUUGCUAUGAUACAUGGGUGAUUUAAUUGGUUGAAAUCUCGUGCUCAAUAACUGUGUUUAAAAAAUCCAGUAGCCUUACAAAUGUGUGAUACAUUUAAAUUACAGUAUACGUGAAAAUAAUAACAUACCACAUAAAUAUGAGGUUUUUCAAACUAUACAAAAUAUUUAAAUGGAUUUUUCUCGAGAUUUAACGAGAUUACCACACAGAAUAUAUGCAAAACCCUAAUCUUGUGGCAUCUCGGUGCAAUUUUGCUCGAGUUUUAUUGCUUAUUCAUGCAAUCUCGAUCAAGAAUGUCCCGAGAUUUCCUUGAGAUUCAUCACGGAAUACUGAUGUACGCGUGUUUUCUUUUUCUUGCAGAUGACUUUUGUCACAAAAUGCAAAGUUUAGGAGUAUUUUUUUUAUAAUUUAGUCAAGAGGAGGCAUGAAAAAAAAAACACGUGUAAAUAGUAUUCUGUGAUGGAUCUCAAGGAAAUCUCGAGGCAUUCUCGACCUAGAUUCAUCACAUAAAUACAAAGUUGGAGUAUUUUUUAUAAACUCUAGGAAUCUCGGGACAACGAUGUCCCAAAUUAUAUAAGGGCGAUUGCAAAAAUAGCAAAAAAAAAAAAAUGAUAAUAUGACUCAUGUCACUAUGUUUUCUAAAUUUCAAACGUAGCAAAUUUAGAAAUUGAUAACUCUUUGAUACUCCCUCCGAUAGCCGUUUGAUAUUUUUAAUUACUUCAUAUUUAUUUACAAUAUGAAAAAAAUGUGUCAUUGUCUAUUUUUUGUUCUAAAUAUUUUUGUCAUCUAAUACAAUUUUCCAAUUAUAUAGUUUGAAGCGAUGAAUAAUAGAUGUGGAUACAUAUUGACUACCACCCUAUGUGAUUGGGGAAAAGGUGAAGUCCAUCUAAUCAAAAGAAUCAGACGGUAAAAAAUUAUUCCCGGUUGUUAUGGUGGCUGGAACCGAAUCCACCGUAUAAAAGUCUUCCUAAUUCUUCUAUUAGGUUUGUCAUUGGAAUUGGAAAAACAAUUGAGAGAAAGAAAAAUGGCAGGUGAAUCGUCUUUGUUCAAGUUCUUGAGCCCAGGACGCCGUUUCCAAUCUACGGACAUCCAGGCCGCCGCCGGCUGGGGUGUCGCCGCCGCCACAACUGCUCUCUGGGUCAUUCAGGUUUUCACCUUUUCUAAAUCCUUUGAUCUAUGCAUACUUUUGUUUCUGAUUUCCACAGAUUUAUGAAGUGAAUCUUUUGACUUCCUGUGUUGAAUUAAAGGAUGCAUCGAUUUUCUUGAGAAUUGAUUCUUGUUUCUGCUUUAUUACCCUUGCCACCUUAAUGGUUUCUAUUUCAAGUUUUGGACGACCUACUUUGGCGUAUUCGGAUCUCUAUUUUUUCUCCUGCCUUGAUAUAGUGAUUACACAGUUGAGAUCUGAAAGAAAUUUAUUCCUUUUGAAUUAUGGUGUCUACGAACAUACGUAUUCCCCGUUGACGAGGAGCCUAGAUAUUCAUUUCAGUUCUCUUUUACUAUUAUCUUCUUUUUGGUUGUUGAUCGAGCACAAAAUGAUACUCUUGCCCAUCUUUGGAAGAUAACUGGUAGAACUCUUGAAAUAUUAAAAAAUGGAGUGUAAUAAUUCUUUUCUCACUCUAUAUUUGUUUUGAACGAAGGACACAAUUCUACAACCUUUAGAACAGUUCUUCUUCAAGUUAUCUUUAUUUAUAUGCAGCACCAUGUUAGACAUUGAAUCUCACAGGUUUCUAAAAAGUUGUAGUAGUUCAUUAUAUGUGGCUCCAUGUCCUGCCGUCCUCAUGAUCACAACUCUGGUUCCACAUUGUAAGUUUUGUUUACUUCAGAUUCCAAUCCAAGUUCAGCUUUCAGUGUUAUGGAGCUUUUAUCCAUCAAAACCCUACCUCAGCAGAAGUUUUGAUCCUCUAUCCUUGCUAUUUCUACACUCUUUUCCAAGUUCCGUAAUUUUAUCGAUAUAGAUGGCUUCAUUUGUUGGAUUUAAACCAUUAGUGAACUUUCUAACUGUACCUGCUGCAAAAUUUCCAUCGAAGACACUGCCAACCAAAAUCUUAAUCUAACUUCCAUCAAUAUUCUUAAACAGUCCUGGGGUAUGGUAAAAAACUUUGUUGUUUGCACCUUCUACCCAAGAUUCUGUCCGUUAGUCCACUGAACAAGGUGAGAGGCUUACCACAAAAGUUCACAAGUGAUGUCUUGAACUCCUAGGAUCCGGCAUUCAUUUUGCAGUGAAGUAUUGUUCUGCUCUAAACGUAUUCUCCUCUCAAUUGCUACUUUUUAUUGAAAGACCUCUCACAAUGUUGGUUGUUUCUUUCUAGAACAAGCCACUCCACUGAUUGACGACCACACUUGGAUUCUACUACUGCAAAACUCAAAAUCGAUUUCCCUUAAUCGCCCCCCCAAUCACAUGUUUCGUGCACUUCUUUCUAGGAAUCCCCAAGAUUGAAGUGCUCCAAUGUCACAGCUGAUAGAUCCCUUGUCAUUUUAUUUAACCAAUUUGAUUGUGAUGGUAUGGGGUUUUAUUAGCUCAGCCCUCUUUCUCUGCUUCUCAUAUUCUCUUUCUACAUGCUUUGUAAACGUCCCCAACUCUUCUUCCUUAACUAACGGCAAUUACAUCAUUUCCUCUCUUUUUCUACUGAUUAGGAUCACCUGUUUUUUUUCUUGUUUUCCCAACUAAACCAUAAUGGACUUGUGUUCUUUGCUAUGUGUUUCUUGCAAAUUAUUGAUUGGGAAAAACUGUUACUUUUUCGCCAUCUACAAGUUUUUGGGUUCCAGAUGUGCUCCAUUACCUUUGAUAAGGAGAAUGCAUUAUCCUACCUUGGCUGGCUUUUUAUACAUUGUUAUUUUUGUAAAUUUUUCUGCAAAUAAAUGGAUAGAGAUUUGAUCCUACAACCGACAUAAGGUGUAAGAAUGUAAGUAGAGUCUGUAUGAUCGCAUCUUUCAGCUUACCGCUUAGUGGGGAUUGAUCGAGCAGACUCUUACCUUGAUCACUUGCUAUGCUUAUGUUGGUUAAGGUUAACUUUCAGUACUUCUGGUCUUUUUACUAUGACUUUUUGUAUCCAAUAUAAGAUGCUUAACCUCUAUAACCCCGAAAAUGCUCUCUGCCUUGUAGUAGAAAAAAAUUAAUUAUGUACAUUUCCCCUUAAUGUUUGGUGAGGCUGCAAACCAACCUAAAUUGUUUGAGUUGUUAAAGUAUCAUUGCUUGCCUAAACAGUUUGUUCCAAUUAAUUUUGUACUAUAUGCUUGAAAUGUUAUUAGUAACUAUACUUGUAGAAAAUGAACUGUAUAUGGUCUUUCCUCUUUUUGAGGCACCUCUGUGGUGCAUUAAUAGGAUGUUUAAACGAAUCUAAUGACUUAUUUUUCUCUUUUGGACUCUUUGCAGCCAUUUGACUGGAUCAAGAAAACGUUCUUCGAGAAGCCACAAGAGAAAUGAAUUGUUAUUUUGUGAAGACUCACCCCAGUUUUUGUUAAUAAAGUAUCAGUUGAUUGCUUUGCCGCAAAUGGGUAAACUGCAGAGUUCAUUGGAAUAACAUGUUUUGUAAUAGAAUCUCUUUUGAUUAAAAUUGAGUUCUUCCGUUUGAAAUUUCAGCGAUAACCAUUUGAACUUUUGUUUUUGUGUUUUUUUAUCCCUUUUAGAUUAAGGUUAUACACGUCACUUACAUCCAUCAGUUUCUAUAUGUUGUCAUGUUUUAAGAGCAAGCUAUGUUUGGACAACUAAAAAGAAAAUGGUUUUUUUUUUGUGUUUAGAAUUUUACUGAUUGUUCAGGUCUUUCUUAAGUUCAUAUUUAAAAAACUAAAACAAAACUGUUGUCUAAGGGACUUACAAGUUUGGUUGAUACUCGUUCUUCCCCCCUACUCCAUUUUCCAGGAUGUUUUCUUUGGUUAAUUUGUUACUUGGGUCAUAGGCAUUUGAGGGAGAAGAUUCAAACUUCUAUGAAAUAUUAAGUUUCACGAAUUUCAUUUUAGUAAUGUUUUGUCCUUAUAAAUCCAACUCUUUCUCAAGGAAAUUAUUAUUCUCUUACAACAUACCCUUUCUUUUAUCCAGUAACAUUUUCUAAACGUUGAUAAUAUAGCCUAUGAAACAUCAAUUUUUUAACAUCUUUGAAGCUAGAUAAUAUAGCUUAUAAAAUAAAUAAAUUAAUAACUUAACAUUGACUAGAAGACAAUAAAUUAAUUAAAUUAUUUGUUAGAGUAUUAUAGUUAUAUGAUCUAAUGUUCUGUAUUAAAACAAGUAGAUAUCAAGCUAGGAAUGUGAAAACAUCUUGCCAUCUAAUUUUGUUUCUUCUUUUUUUGUGACAUAGUCUAUGAUUUUUGUUUCCGAAGCUAUUCCUUUAACAUUCUUUAAUUAGUAUCCUUAACACUAAUUUUUAAGCAAUAGGUUUAUAUUUAAACAUUAAUUUCCAAUGAUUGAAGUCCUUGUGCAAUCUAGUUUAGGAAUAAUUUUCUAUUUUUUGCAUAAUAAACAUUUUAAAUUAAAAGCCUAUUUCCUUUUAAGAUUUAGAUUACUUCGAAAUCCUUUUAAAUUUAAUUUCUCAAAAGGAAUUUGUUGGAUUAAAUCUGAAAAACGACGUCGUUACAGUAUGAAGUAGAAUUCAAUCCAAUUUACUGAAGAGUGAAGGUAAAAAGGACUAGGUGAAAUACCUAAAAGCCCAUUCCUAUUCUUACGCAAUCCGUGGAUAAAUAGGUAAAAUCCAAAGGUGUUUUGAGUUUUGACCUGUUCUUUCGUUAUAGGUUCUUACCAUUAUCCUGUAUAACACGUGUUUCAUCCUAGUCCGUCGGAUCAAACUCCCCUCUUCCUUCCUUUACCCUAUUUCCCUCAUCCCCAAGACCUCUUUUCAAUUUCCUUACUUCCUCCGCCGCCGUCUCUCUGCCGAAAAGGGGUUUUUCCGGACCUCAUUCCGAUUGAUUUUCCCUUCUGCUGCUCUCCGUCUUCACUGCUUUAGUUCCUUUAGCGAGGGGUUUUUCUGUCGCCGACUCAGAUCUCUGUAAGUGAUACUCAUUCGAAUCGAUAUUUGGAUGUCUUUUGAUUCGUUACUUUUCCUUUGCUUGUUCAUUGAGAAAAGAAGUUGAUUCGAUUUUGAUUGCAAAACCUCCUUUUUGCGUUCAUGCGUUUGUUUGUUUAUAUCUUUAUGUUUUUUUUUUUUUUUUUGUUGUUGUGGUUGUUGGGAUCUGAUCGCUCUUUUCUUCGAAUGUGGUGGAUAGAUAAUAUAAAAAAUCCGAGUUGGCGGUGGUUCGAUGGAGAAUGAGCUGGUGGAAUUGUUUGAAGCGGCGAAGAAGGCUGCAGAUGCCGCUGCAGCACCAUCAAAUGAUGGGGGAGCCGAAGAAAGUCGUUGCCUUGAUGCCCUAAGGCAGCUCAAGAAAUUCCCUGUUACUUAUCAAAUCCUUGUUUCCACUCAGGUUUUCUUCUCAUUAGACUUGAGAUUUGUUUCUUUUGUUGAUGGUGGGGGGACAGUGAGAAUGUAAUUAGCAAGUUUAUGAAAUUAUGCAUGGUUUUUAUUAUGAAUUUAGCUUAAAUUCAUCGUCUGCUUGCUUACGAAUUGGUUUCAUAACGAAUUGAGUUCACUCGAUUUCAUACGUUGUUUAUGUCGUUCACGUUCACGUAACAAAGUCAUCUCAUUUGUGAUCCUUGUCAAUUUCGGGGAGAGAAUAAUGGCAGGAUUUUCCUAGUUAAUUAGGCCCCAUUUGAAUUGACUUUUCAAGUGUUUAUGAGCAUUCUUUUUCAAGAGAUACACUUAUAUAAAGACUUAAGAAAUCAAUCCAUCAAUAAUCUUUUGUUUCAUCUUUGUAAUUGACAUCACUUUUGCCUGUAUUGAUUGCUUAUUUAUAUUGUUUUCUAUAGGUUGGGAAGCGUCUUCGGCACCUCACUAAACACCCCAAGAAGAAAAUACAGGAGCAUGCUUCUGACCUGAUUGAGAUGUGGAAGGAGAUAGUAAUCAAGGAGACUAAUAAGAACAAGAAAAAUGGAAAUGCCAGCAGUAAAGAUUCACCUAAAAUUGGUUCUCCCAGUGCAGAAUCAGUUAAGGUGGAGAAGUUUCAAAAAUCAUCUUCCAUGAAGGUUGAGAGAGUUUCCAAGGUUGAGCAAUUUGAUAGGAAUGGUGCCACAAGCUCUGUAAAAUAUUCCAAAUCAGAAAGCGUGGUCUCGGAGAGAAACUCUGUGAAGGUUGAGAAAACUGAUUCAAUGGUCAAGGUUGAAAGGGUAGUUAAAGAAGAGAAGAAACCAUCCAGUGGCGCAGCUGCACCUCCAAAACUUACUUCCAUGAUUAAAUCAAAAGAUGCUGCUCGAGACAAAAUUAGAGAACUUCUCUUUGAGGCUUUCUCCAAAGUCCCUGGUGAAGCUGAUGAAGAAUUUAUGGAUGAGGUUAAUGCAAGUGAUCCUAUCCGUGUUGCUGUUUCUGUAGAAUCCGUGAUGUUCGAAAAUUGGGGAGGUUCUACUGGUGCACAGAAGGCCAAGUAUAGAUCUAUAAUGUUUAACCUCAAGGAUCCAAAGAACCCAGACUUUCGAAGAAAAGUUCUUCUAGGACUUAUAAAGCCAGAAAGGAUGAUCAAUAUGAGCACAGCCGAUAUGGCAAGCGAUCAGAGAAAACGUGAAAAUGAAGAGAUUGCACAGAAAGCUUUGUUUGAUUGCGAGCGUGGAGGAGCACCAAAAGCUACUACCGAUCAGUUCAAGUGUGGUCGAUGUGGUCAGCGCAAAACAACCUACUAUCAAUUACAGACGCGGAGUGCGGAUGAACCUAUGACGACGUUUGUAACUUGUGUAAACUGCAAUAACCAUUGGAAGUUCUGCUGAGUCUAUUUUGAGAUGCUGAAAAUGUUAUUGUUUGGAACAAUCUACUGAGCAAUUAGUGUUAUUUUGCCCUGACAUUGGUUGCUGCAGUUUGUAAUCUCGUUCCACAUUGUUACAUUUAGAACGUAGGAGCUUUUCUGUUGUAGGAUGUCUUAAGUGCCAAUUUAUUAAGAAAUUCAGUGUAUAAACUUGUUUUAUUUUUAUUUUCUUUGGUAUUUUUAUGAGUUUCAUACAGUUACAAGGAUCUCUUUAACUCAACGGUUCAACUAAAUUGUUUGUUAAAUUUGUCUAAGAGCAUAUACGAGAGAUUCUGAUUUUGACUGUAGUGGAUUCCUUUAUAUUAAUUGUUCAUAAUUCAGUGGCCCCACUUAUCAUAUGAAAUGAAGUAAACGUGUCAUUGAUAAGGGCAAGAGGGAUUUUUAAAUUAGUGCAACAUAAGGAAGACUAAAGACUAUAUGACAAAUCCCUAACAUGGUGAUUACAUUAACGAGGCCAAUAAAUAGCUUUAUUAUGCUCAUUCAGUGACAUAAUGAAAUAAUUUGUAAUCUAAGAAUCAAUCAUCCUACAUGGUAUUUGUCCGAGUCUUCUCUCAGCUGCUGUGGUAGCAGUCACAUGUCUUGGUGUUUCAUUUCCCUUCUCACAACUUAUUUUCUCCUAAUGGUGAUUCUUUGCAUUUCCAGUGAUGAAUGAAGUGCUCGCUCUGUUUCUAUUUAGCUUUUAUAUCUUCUCUUCUACUGUCUAUUUAACCUACAAUAUAAGCCUAGAACAAGAACAUGAAAUUGUGAGGAACUAUUAUAUCAUUAUAUGCUCAAUAUUAUUGGAAAGUUAUCAGAAAUAAUGCAUUGAAGUUUUUAUAUUAUAAAACUAACACCCAUAGUAAGGUUGUUAGAAAUACAACCAAUACCAAGAUGUACCAAGAAUGUUCAAAACAAUCAAUAAAUUAAAAAAAUAUAUAUAUUUUUUUGACUAAAUCUCGAUGGUCGAUCUCGUUGAAGAAAGACCAGAAAAACUUGUUUUCAAAGAUGAUACUAGUUUUGAGUUAUUCAAAUUAUCAUCUUACCUACCUCACUUUCAUCCAGGUAAAGGUAAUGUUGUUGGGAGCAAAGACACGAAUUACAACGUAAAGAAUAUGGACUCAACUAGAGAACAAGACCUUUUGCUUUCAAAGCGGCUUUUUAACUAAGAUAGCCUAAAAUGCUAUAUCUUAUUACAUGAUGGACCUAAAAUUUUAAUAAAUUUCACAAGUGUCUUAAGUGGGUUUAUAUAUUACAUAUAUACCCGUUCCUAUUAUUAAAUUGAUUAUAAAAAAAACUAUAAAUGGAAAAGAUCGUAGGUUACGGUUUUUGGAAAGAAAUCAAUCACGAUUCAAACUUUCCUUUUUCGAAUACCGUGGUUUACUUCUAUUAUAUUUGCACAAGCAACCGUUUAUACUGAGAAAUUUUAGAGAUUUCGACGGUCAAGAAGAAGUUCGACAGCCGACAAAGCCAGUAAUUUUUCGAUAGAAUCUGGGUCUAAAUUUCAAGGUUAGUAAUGUAUAUUUCAAAAACAGUACGAAGAUUAGAGUAUACUGAGUAUUAAAUUAUACUUAAUUAAUUAUUAAUGUAUGAUUAUACAUAAUUAUUAAAUUAUUUUAUAUUGAAAAAUAUUUUAUUUUAUAUUUAAUUAAUAAACUAUUUUUAAAUUAUUUUUUAUUAUUAUACAUUAAUUAAUAAAAGUUGAGUGUAAUGUGAAUAAGAAAAUAAUUUGACUAAUUAGGAUGAAGUUAUAAUUAUCGUAUAAAUUUACACCAUCUUAGGCAAGAAAAUAAAUUUUAAUUUAUGACACUUAUCAAAUUUCGUAGUAAAUUUAGUUUAUUUAUGAAAUUUCGUAGUAAAUUUAGUUUAUUUAGUAUCCGCCUACUACUUAUGCUUUCAAAUCUAUAUACAUGAUCCACCAGAUUGGUUUUAGAUAGCAGGUAUAUUUUAUUGUUUAUAACAACACAAACUAACAUUGUAAAAUUUCUCUAUGCUUUUUGUAUGAAGGACAACAAUUGCAAUACAACUAAAUUAGCCCGUAGAACUGAAUAUCAUGAAACAUGCGUUGAAGAUAAUGUCCUCAAAUAAAAUUACAUACAUACAUCCCACAUUCCACAACUCAUCUAUACUAAACUAUUAUCUAGGAAACAUGUUAAAGCUCUCUUACCCUCACGUUUCCCAUUUCUCUACCCCACAACACCCAACAAUAAGAAAACAAGCUUUAGACAUCAUGAGGCUCUUAUCGUUUACAAAGAGUACAUGAAUGAAAAAUCAAGCAGCAUUUUUGAAAGAAGGAAAGACGUGACACAUAAAAAUGGAGAACUGAGUGUACACAAUAAACAAAUAGAGUUGAAUAAUAGUAUAAAUUUAAAUCCUAAACUUUCAUAAAUGAAUCAAUUUAUGUCAAAAAUGCCACAAAUAUUAGAUAUCUACUUGUUUAGAACCCUAAAC
RNAcentral lists this long non-coding RNA (77598 nucleotides) under Cucumis sativus (cucumber). RNAcentral's name for it is "long non-coding RNA (CSAT_LNC002173)". Lineage: Eukaryota; Viridiplantae; Streptophyta; Magnoliopsida; Cucurbitales; Cucurbitaceae. The record is from RNAcentral.